CACCAAAGCUGAAUUCCCAGUUCAGCACAAAGCCCAGAGCUGCAACAAUUGUAUGCUCUGCUAAUUCUCCCAACCAAAGCACAUCAACCUCAGAGCAACCUUCACCACCAUCACUCAAGGCAUUUUCUGCAGCUCUUGCACUUUCUUCCAUUCUUUUAUCGGCCCCGGUGAUGCCCGCCUCGGCCGACAUCGCUGGCCUCACACCAUGCAAGGAGUCCAAGCAAUUUGCCAAGCGCGAGAAGCAAGAAAUCAAGAAACUUGAGUCAUCCCUGAAGCUUUAUGCCCCUGAUAGUGCUCCUGCUCUUGCUAUUAAGGCCACUAUCGAGAAGACCAAGCGCAGGUUAGUAUUGCCUGCAAUUUUUUUUCAUUUCUUUUCACCCGUGAGCAGACCUGCAGGAAGAGUUGAAAACUGUGUUCUGAAAUGUUGAUUGGGUUUGCAGGUUUGAUAAUUAUGGAAAGCAAGGGCUGUUGUGCGGAUCGGAUGGAUUGCCUCACUUGAUUGUGAGUGGAGACCAAAGACACUGGGGUGAAUUUAUCACCCCAGGGAUUUUGUUCCUGUACAUUGCUGGAUGGAUUGGGUGGGUAGGCAGGAGCUACUUGAUUGCCAUCAGGGAUGAAAAGAAACCAACAGAGAAGGAGAUCAUCAUUGAUGUCCCCUUGGCCUCGAGACUCGUGUGGAGAGGAUUCAUCUGGCCCGUCGCCGCCUACAGAGCGUUCGUGACUGGAGAUCUCAUUGACCCUACUGUCUAAAUCCAUUAUCAGGUUAUUAAUCUACCCUUUUCUUUUAACCAUUUUUACUAUAAAAGACAGAAAUUACUCAGCCCUUUGUGGAAAUUUGACUAGCGGUAUCAACAAGAAGUUUGAAAUCACAAUGUUUCAACCAUGAACAAGUUCACAGGAUCUUGAUGAUGUUGGUUGCUAAGCUUGCUACUAGAAAUGAGUUUCUUAGUUAUCAAUCCUUCUGUAAGAAUAACUAAGCUUACUACUAGAAAUGCAAUGCAAAAAAUGUCACUCAUUUUUGUGGUUAUGACUUUUAUCAAGUGCGUUAUUUGGCUGUUCUUGUAUAGUUUAGGCACAGACAUGGAACCCCAGCGACCGAAGAUGAAGUGAAAGGCUUGAAUUUUGGAUCUUGCUCGGGAAAAAAAAACAGAUGAUGGAAAAAUUCUUGUAUCUGGAAGUUGUAAACUCAAAUGUAUCUAUUCGUUUCUUUGGAGUGACACCAACCAAUAGAAGAUGCUUAAUUUUCUUUUGGGUGAUCAAUCAAUUCUGAGUAAUGCAUGUCCAGUAUUUCAUUUUUUUCACUUUUUUGUUUCAUUUUGUUUCCCUUUUAACUCCUUUUCCCUGAUUGUGAUGUGAUGAUGAAGACAUCAGAGACUAAUGGGGGGAAAUUUAUGUCGGAUUCUCAACUAAACUGAAGCAAUUAACCAACAGAUAUCUAGAAAUUGUACAUAGAAGAAGAACAUAUUCUAUAAUGCAAGAUAUACAUGCCAGUAAAAUGGAUCAGUAGUAUUCAUUGCUGUACAUAUAAGGCAUAUGGGAUUCACUGGGAUGAAUAUAAGCCAUCCCUUCAGCAACAUCAUCAGCAAAAUUUCCCAUCAAUUUAGACAGUGAACUGAAUCUUUAGACACUCGCAGCAGCACUAACCAGCAUAACUUUGAAUGUUUUCCUCCUCUAUAUGUGUGUUUGUCAUGUGUCAGAUGGUGGGAAAAAAAAUAAUGUCAGAAGAUACUAUCCACUUCUUCCUCUAAUAACUCCACUUCUGAAAUUAACUCAUCAGCCAAUUGAAAGCAAUCUGCUAUAGACAAGAUGCAACUAAAAACAUGUAUUUUUUUUAAAAAUAUAUAUUUCUAUUGCAAAUCUUCCUAUCCAAACAAACUCAUAUAUCUCUUCAAAAGAUAAAUGCAUUUAAUUACCGUUUGGAUUGGUCAUUUUUUCAAAAACAAGUUUUUCAAAUACAAUGCUACAGUAAUACACAAUAACUCAAAAAAACAUCUCAUCUAUAUAAUAUAUCAAAUAUUUCAAAAAAAAUUUAUAGUAAAAAUUUUUCAUAUACAUUGUUACAGUAAAAUUUUUCAAAAACACUUUAAAAAACAGAUAAUCCAAACGGAAACACCUUGACCUAGGUCUCUAAGGGCCAGUACAUCAAUCGCUAACAUGUCCGGCUCUAAUUUAUUUUGGUCCUUGCAACGCUCGUACAAGUUAAAGGUUGUUUGUGCAACUUUUUAGACUUAUUUGUGCAAGUUUAAGAUACUUUGUGCAAUGCUAGUGGUGGCAAAUAAUUGAUUGAAAAGUUAACCAGACACUACUAGAAAUUGUAUAAAAUUUGAAAAAUUAAUUGCUAUGUCAUUAUACUCAGGAAAAACAGGGCAACACAAAUUAAGGAAUCAUAAUAAAACUAACAGAAAAUCAUAUGUAUGAAUAUAUUCAUAAGAGAGAACAAAUGCUCUUGCAGAUUUUGGUCAAUCUUUACCAGAUAAACUCUUGCAGUUUAGGUAGGAUCAAGACUCAGCAUUGUUUAAACUAUCAUCUUCAAUAUCACAAAUAGGAAGGUCAUCCAAUUUGUUGAGUUCACUUUUAACCUAAUACCAUAAUGAUUGUCCACAAUUUGUUAACAAUACAAAUUUUUAGAAUCAACCAUUAUUCCUCCUGCAAAUUAAACUGGACAAACUGUCCCCUUUGGCAAAAUCAUUAUUGCCUUCAAAGUCCAGACUUUGCAAGAUGUUUUAGAUUUCAUUGCAAAAUAGACCUCUUAAUUAAAAAAAAAAAAAUUCUUCCUUGAUCCCAUCAUCCAAAUCAAGGGAUAAACAUUUUGGGUUUCUCUCAAAGUUUAUCAGCAGAUGACAAAUUAGCCAAGAAAACUGCCUAAUAAAUACCUAAAAUAUGAAAAAUGGGUGCUAACAUGGUAGCAAAUGAACGGCCAAAAUUUCACUAGGAAAGUCCUUCAAUUUUGUUUUCUUUCAUCCAAAAUUCUCUGCCUUACGUUUCUUGUCACAAAAGUUGCACAUACUCACAACCACAUAUAACAAGAAAAAGUUAGUAAGUAAGGUUGCUCAUUUACCAAAAAAGAAUAAAUAAAUAAGGUUGCUUGGCAAAUUAUCCUUCCUCCUCAUCAAUUUUCUUCCAAUACCACUUUCACUAGCCCUUCGUUAUCUUAAAAAAUACAUAGACAAUGCCUAAUCUUUAAACGUGAGAUGUAUAUUGUUGAAUUUGCAAAUAAAAAUUUAGUCUAGUGAUGUGCAUAAGUAUGCUUGUCCUUUUCGAUCCUUUUCUUUAGAAACAAAAUAAGUAUUUUAGACAAAGUCUACGGCAAUUUCUUUUUCUUUCUUUUUUUAAGCCAUAAAGAGUAGAGAUUCAAGAAAUGAGAAAGAAAAAAAAAACCUAUAAUAAGUUUAACAACAAAAAAAAAAAGGAAAGUAACAAAAACAUACGCCAUCAUUUAAUUAAAUUAUGAUCUGUUUUCCCUCCACCAUCACCCCCUUCUUGCACACCACCUUUUCCUCCUCCUCCUACCCUUUUCGCCAGUGCCCCUCUACCAUGCUUCACCCCUUUUUCCUCCUACAUUUCCCUUUUAAGUUCUAUCUUCCCACCUUGCAAUACGCCUCCCACCUCCUCUCCCCCUUCUUAAUGGAUGUAAGGGGAUCGAGUGAGAAGUGGGGAGAAAGAGUAGGAAAGAAGUGGGCGGAAUGCCAGGGAAAGGCAUUCAAUUUAUUUAGAUUGAAGAUUUUGUGCAUAAAAAAAUCAUUUACAAUAAUGCUUUUGUAAUAUAUUGUAUCUGAAGAAAAACAAUUUAAAAUAAUAAAAUGGUGAUGUAAUAAUAAUUUAGAAAAUCUCCAAAAAAAAAUUUCCGAAAAGGUUUUUGUCCAGACAUUAUUGUAUUAUGCUAUAGAAUGAACUGUAGAAUUCAUAAUGUACUUAAUUUUUGAAUUUUUAAAGUGAAAUCUCAACAAUGUAUGUAUUUUUUUUAUUACUAACUCCACAUGCUAAGAUUUAGUAAUUUUAUUUUGAAAGAUAAAUUAAAAGAUUUGUAAGUGUACUUAUUAAUGCAUUUAAAUUAUAUAUAACUUAUCAUGUUAUUACAUGUAUUCAAAUCUACCAUACUUUUUUUAUAAGAGAAUUAAUAAUAGUUCCCUAUUUAUUUCCUUUGAUUACUCGAACUGAUGUAAAAUGUUUUACCAAUUGGGUUACGUUUUCUUGUCAAUUAAUAAAAACAAAAAAAAAUUAUUGCACCCUUACAUCUGUGUUUGGAUUGUAAUUUUUCAAAAAAAAAUAUUAUAUUUUGCGUAGAUACAUUUUUUAAUUAUUUUUUUAUUUCACGUAUUUUAAAUUAUUAUAAUAAAUUUUUUAAUAAAAAAUUCAAAAAAAUGCAAUUCAUACAAACCAAUCACCAAUGCCUCCUUGGCCAAAUCCAACACAGUCAACUUUACGAUGUCAAAUCAGAUGAAUUAUUACUACUAUAGUUAGUAUUUUAAGUCCUAAUUUUAACAUCUAAAAAAAAUAGGUCCUAAUUUUAAAAUACUCCAAAUUACAACAGUCAAAUCAAAUCUUGUCCCAUUCAAAAUCUGCUAUCGUCAUGUCACUUCACUUCCAGUGAAUUAACAUCAAGGCCACAAGGAAUUCCCGCCAAUGCCCAUGGAUUAACAUCGGAUUUCAAACCCAAUAUCUAGCCAAAAUGCAUGUUUCACGCAGAAUCCGCAAGGCAUCAUACACAAAAUGCCGCCUUGUUUGGAUCAUGGGUCUUGGCGGAAAAAUUGUUACGUGUUUUUGUAAAUAAAAUUUUAAGUAUUUUUUAAUUUAUGUAUAUUAAAUUAUUAUAAUAUAUAUUUUUAAUAAAAUUUCUAAAAGUAUCAAUUCGAAGAAUAGGCUUAUUGUUUUUUAAGGAAAUUUAUUUUACGUUUUUUGUGAGUAUAUUCUUGUUUGAAUUGUACUUUUUCUUAUAAAAAAUUUCUAUAUUUUUCAUAAACAUAUUUUUUAAUCACUUUUUUACAUUGUAUAGAUCAAAUUAUUAUAAUACAUUUUCUAUAAAAAUUUUUAAAACUAACAAUUCAAAUAGGCUUGUAAUUUAGAUUAUUAUUUUAAUUAUUUUAAAAUUGUUUAUAAAUAUAUUUUAAAAUCACUUUUUUAAUUGAUGCAGUCCUUUUGAUAAAAACUCCAAAAGAUAGAUACAAAAAAUAUAUUAAUAUACAUAUUUAUAUAUAAAUAUUAUAUACAAAAAAAUAUAUUUUGUUUAAUAAAUAUAUAAAUGAAUACAUAAAUAUUAAUUCAAAAAUUAAUAUACAAAAAUAUUUAUAUAUAAAUAUUAUAUAUAAAAAAUUUAUUUUGUUUAAUAAAUAUAUAUUUAUAUAUAAAUAUUAAUACAAAAUAUAAAUAUAUAUAAUUAAAUAUAUUUAUUUUUAUUUAUGUAAUUAUAUAAUUAUAUUUAAUUAUAUAUAUUUAUAUAAAUAAUAUAUUUAUAUAUAUUUAUAAAUAUAUUUAUUUCAAUUUUUUUUAUUAUAUGUAAAUUAAUAUAUAUAUUAUGUAUAUUUUGAUAUUUAUAUUUCAAUUAUGAAUAUAAGAUAUAUAUAAAUUAUAGUAAUAUUAAUAUAUUUCAAUUAUGUAUAUUAAUAUGUAUAAUAUAUAUAUUAUAUCAAUUGAAAUAAAUAUUAUACUUUUAUAUAUUAAUAUAAAUAUUUUGUUUUAAAAUAUAUUUAUAUAUAUAUUUAUUUAAAUAUAAAUAUAUAUCUAUAUAUAUUUAUAUAACUAUAUAAAUAUAUUUAUUUAUAUAUUUAUAUAAAUGUGUAAAUAUAUUUAUUUCAACUUUGUUUUAUAAUAUGUAUAUUAAUAUAUAUUAAUAUGUAUAUUUCAAUUUGUAUAUUUCAAUUAUGUAUAUUUUAUUACAUAUAUAAAUUAUAUUAAUAUUAAUAUGUAAUUUAAAUUAUGCAUAUUAAUAUGUAUAUUAUAUAUAUUAUAUCAAUUGAAAUAAAUAUAUGUAUUUAUAUAUAAAUAUUAAUAUUUGUUUAAAAUAUAUUUAUAUAUAUAUAAAUAUAUACAUAUCAAUUUUAUUUUAUAAUAUGUAUAUUAAUAUAUAUUAAUAUAUAUUUGUAUAUGUAUAUUAAAUAUAUAAUAAUAUACAUAUUAAAAAACAAAAUUGAAAUAAAAAUAUUAUAUAUAUAAAUAAAUAAACAUUAAUAUAUAGAAACAGACCCAGUAUAUAUUUAAAAAGAAUCUCAACAAAAUUUUAAAUUAUAAAAAUAUUUAAAAAUAUCUCUAAAAAUAAUCUAAAAAUAUCUACAAUAAAAGUUAUUCAUAUACAAAGUUACAGUAAAAUAUUUGAAAAACUCCCUCCAAAAACAGCUAAUCCAAACGGGAGCCCGAUUCGACCAUUUUGUCUCUUCUUCCCCCAUGCAUGAAGUUUCCUGACGGCUAAGUCUACACGGAGGCAUAUGCACCGCCAAAAACCUCCCCAAAAUCCUAGUACUAUGCUAAUCCUCGUACGAUCUUUUUGUCUUCUACCUUUACCUUCUUCCUAGGCUGAUUUCCCUAGGACCCUUUACUAUAAAUCGUCCUUCCAGCUUGAUUUCAACUAUCAUGACAGAGAUAAUCAGUUUCUUGAUUUCGUGUUGGCAAAAAGGUUAGAUUUUCGUGUUGGUUGUUGCAUUUCUGGGAUAAUCGAGAAUUUUUCAAGGAGCUUGGCUGUGAAUUCGAGGAUGGAUUCGGAGAGGGAGCUUCAACACAAGCUGAUUAAUGCUGGGGUGAAGCUUCUGGUGCCAAUCUCUUCUACCGAUGAUCUCCUUGCCUCCCUCGAUGUAAAGAUCACUUUUUCAUGAGGCAUCUGGAAGAUUUAGAGAUUGGCUUGGCUUAUUUCCUUUUUUUUUUUGGGCUAUGUUGCAUGCAUGCGCAAAAUCAAAUAUAAAAGUUUUGGUUUUUGUCUCUUGAGUGCUUUUGUUGAUUUAGUCCUUGUUGAUUGAGAUUAUUAAAUCCUGUUUUGUUUGUAUCUUGGUGAUUUUGCUGCUUAAUAAUGUAAACUUUUGUUGGGUUUGCUUCUGUAAAGUUCAAAAUUAAUUGCACAUAGUAACAAUAAUUGAUAGAAAUAGGCUUGCACCAAGCACGCACGAGGCACAGAGUGUUUGAUCCUGUAGGUUCAAUGUUUAUUUGAUAGGUUACUUCUCCCUAAGAAAUGUUGUUAAUCGAGGCUUUCGUUUUCUCUGAUAAACGUUCUCUUUUCACGAUUCAAAACUGCUGGCUUACUUCUGCGUAUUAUUUUAUAUUCGAGAACUCUUUUCUGUCUGAUGUAAAUUAAUUAUUAUCUUCUUUUUCGUCCUGUUGUUUAGAAACUAGAGGGCCUUUUAUCGGUCCUAGGUCAAGAUCCUUUCAGUUCGAUACGAGAUGCACUGUUGCCUUCGAUGAAGGCUCUGAUCUCUGAUAGGCUGUUUAGACAUCCUACUACGGAGGUCAGGAUUUCGGUUAUGUCUUGCAUCUCUGAGGUGUUAAGAAUCACAGCUCCACAUCAACCUUACGAGGAUGAAAAAAUGAAAGUAAGCUGAAGAACCUAUGGUGGUAUUUAUUCUUGGUUUAGUUGCAUCUGCGCUUUGUAUUCUACACUUAUUUAGAACUCAGUUGUCAGCCUUUGCAUUUUGAUGGCGUGCAGGAAGUUUUUCAGCUAACUUUAGCUGCAUUUGAGAAGUUGUCUCUUUUAUCUGGUCGCUGUUAUUCUAAAGCUUUGCACAUUCUUGAAAUUGCUGCAACGUUCAGAUGCUGUGUUAUCUUGCUGGACCUAGGCUGCAAUGCAUUUGUCACUGAAAUCUUCGAACUCUUUCUAAGUACCAUUAAGUAAGUCUAAAAUCUUAUAUUUUAUUGACAAAAUCUUCUAAUUGACUGUUUGUCCUCUUUGGAUCAUUUAGUAAUUGCUAUCGUUCAGCUUUUUCAAAGUAACUCUAGUACUGGUAGUUACAAUACUCUUUAAUUUGAAGUUACUAGAUGUGUUACAUUACCUUCAACCUUCUUUCCUGAAUAUAUGAUCUGAUUUUCGCUUCAUGAAUUCCUCAGUGGCGGCAAAGGUUAAAAAAUUGAUGAGCUCAUGGGAAAACCUUUUUGAUGUGUUGUUGAGUGAUUAAAUCAUGGUCUCUAAUUCGAACAAUCAAAUUAUGAGUGUUCAUUUGUUUGUCUUCCACCUGUGUUGUACCUAUCAACAUAUUAAACUAUCAUGUGCUGAUAGAUACUCUUAUGUUUGAAUGUUAAAUACAAGGUUCAACCACCCGCAUGCUGUAUUCUCCAACAUGGCAGAAAUUAUGACUUGUCUUAUAGAUGCAAGUGAUGAAAUUUUAUUAGAUCUUCUAAAGCCUCUUCUGAAUAGUGUGAAAAAGGAAAAUCAGGUACUCUUCCUUGUAUAGAUCUCUGCGUCAUUUGUUCUCCAUUUUUUUUAAAAAAAUAAUCUGUACUCAACCACCUUUGUUGUUUGCCUCAGAUUACUUCACCAGCUUCCUCUUGGCUAGGAGAGAAAGUACUAAAGAACUGCUCAACUAAAGUCAAACCUUAUCUCAUGAAUGCAUUGAAGUCAAUGAGUCUAGAUAUUAAUGAUUAUGCCGAUAUAGUUGCUUUGUUAUGCCGAGAUAUGCCAGCUGGGGCCAAUGUGGUGCGACAUUUUUCUUUCGUUCAACUGGACCUUUUUUUUUUUUUGGCAAAAGGCAGAUAGGUUUAUGAUUUUAUACUGUCUCCAAAAUUUCAUACUUCUCUUGUAAUUUAUCUUGCUCCUUGUAUUUGUGAAUGAUGGAAAUAUGUUUGGACUUCCUUAAAGUUGUUGUUUCCCCCCACUGUCUAAUACGUGAGAUGUUAAGAAAUAGUCUAUAACUCUAUAUUCAUCUUCCUGUAACUCAUAGAAAAACCAGAAAUUGUUCAGGAAGAGAAUCAACAUCAGAAAAUGAUUGUUGCUAUAGAUUUUCAUUUAAAAUUAAGCUGUGCUUGAGAUGUCAGACUGAUUCUGUUGCUUCCAAUGCAUCAUAGGAUCGUUAGUUUUCAUAGUUGAAGUUCUGUAAAUCGAAUUAAUGAGUCUAAUUUUUCCUAAAGAUUAGGAAAAUGCUCUUUUAAGCAAAAUUAGUAGAUCAGGCAGCUGAAAUGGUUGAUAUUCUCCUGUUGGAAUUGCUCAGUCUAGUAAGACUAUUUAGAAUCUGGUUUUGUUCUUUGUUGCUUCUUCACUAUUCUUUCUGCUAUUUAAAUGUUUGUGUUGAAAUGAAGAGACUGGCUUUAAUUUGUCAAUCUUAAUUUAAUCAGGUGAUGGAGGAGUCAGGAAUGACUGCUGCUGACCUUGUGCAAGAUGAAGCUCAGCUUUGCAAGUCACUGCUAGAUGAUUGCACAGCUCAGGAGGCAUACAGUGAUGAUAAUGGAUCAAAUGAUAGGAAUUCUUCAAAGCUAUUGCAGAGCCAUGAACAAGUUGUUCAGCUGAAGAGCAUAGCUAAAAGAUCUGUUGCCCCUGGAGCUUUAGACGGUGGAGGAGAAAUGCAAGCAAGAGCAAGAGUACGAGUCAUGCCAAAUAGAAGGGGAAGAAAACCCAAUUCUCUGAUAAAACCGGAGGAAGGUUAUGAAUAUUCUGGGAUAACUGGACACCGAGAUUCUCACAGAAUACCUUGUAAGAAAAAGAAUCUUGGGAAAGUUAGCAGCUUACCGAGUAAUUCAUCUGCAACGGAGUCUGUUUUGCAGCCUGAAGCAGAAAAGGAUGACAAGCCAAGUUCUUUUCCGCCAAGAACGUUACAUUUUGACAGCAGAUGUGCUCCCAUUUCCCUAGAUCCAACUGAAGGAGGUAAAAGUCUUCAGAGAAAGAGUAGGCCAAGGAAGAAAGAGAGCAUGUUUAGUCAUGAUGUUAACAUUGCCAUGUUUGACAAGGAAGGUGUUUUACUGGAAGAUCAACUUAAGAAGAAAAGCUUGCCAGGUUCUGAUGGUUGCUUAAGAACAGGAUCAGACAAAACAGAAAAUGCUGACAAAAAACCUGGGAGAUAUUCAAGGAGGAAGAAAUCUGCUGUCUGUAACAACAUAGAGACAACCUUUGGCAUGAAGAAUGUAUUUGUAACAAAGGAAAAAGACAUGCAGAGUGAUUUGGAUGGAAAACCACUGCUUUUGUUUAGAAGGAAGGAUGGACAAAAAGGAAUGAAAGACAAAGAAAUUGAAAAAUCUGAGGUAUUAUGUUUGUUUAGUGAUGUUUGAUUUGAAUUUUGCGAUAGAGAAAAGUGGACAUAGUUUUGCAGCGACCAAAUAGGAAAUUAGGAUGUUUAAUUUGAUAUGGAGGGAGUUAUUUUUCAUGUAAAGGUGAAGCAAUUCUGUUUUCACAGUAGAAACCACCUCUGGUGUGAAAAGAGUACUUGUAAAGAAGGAAAAAGAUAUCCAGAGCGAUCAGAAGGAAAACCACUGGUUUUAUUAAGAAUGAAGGAUGGACAAAAAGGAAUGGAAUGCAAAGAAGCUGAAAAUUUUGAAAUAUCAUGUUUGUUCAUUAAUAAGUCAAUUAAUGUCUGAGGUAUUAUGUUUCUUUAUUGAUGUUUCUGUGCUUUUACCUACAAUUAAAACUGUCAAAUUAAGCAAAGUGGACAAGUUCUCCGCCCGCCACCCAUAUAGGAAAUGAGGAUGUUCAAUUUGAUAUGAGGUAGUACAAAAUCUUAUUUUUCAUGUAAAAGGUGAACCAAUUCUUGUAACUUCUGUCUAAAACUUUCUACUACAGAAAGUAGAUAAUUAGAAUCUUGCUUAGCAUAUGCUGAGAGCUUGAGCAAGCACCCCGGUCUCUCGAUAUGUUUGUAAGCAAUGACUGGCUAAAUUUCGUGCCUGUCUGAUAUGCCUUGUUUAGAUGCUUUGUGUUUGUUCCAUAUAUUCUGACAUGAUUUUCAUAUCUGAUUUCUAAUGUGCGAAGACAUCUUUUUGUAUUCAGGGUUGCAGGAAGCCUAGAAUUGUGAAAGAGUAUGGUGAAGAAUUAAUUGGUUCAAGGAUAAGGGUCUGGUGGCCCAUUGACCGGCAGUAAGUGACUCAAAUUGUUAAAUGAUCAAAAUUAAUGACAAUAUGUUGAUCCUUUUUGCUAUUUUUGUAAGUUUGAAUCUCUGAAUGUUGCUAUCAUCUUGACUUUGGUCCAGGUGGUUCUGCUUCUUUGAAACAGUUUACAAGUAAUAGGACAAUCUUCUGGGUGGCUUUGUUGAUAUGGGUGUUAAAUAGCUGAAGCUAUUGCCAUCUAAUUCCCCCAAGCUGUCCCCCAUUCCCCCAACUUUCUGCUUGAUUUUGGUGUGUCCUUCCACCUAAAAUGCAUGAACUACAACCCUUUUUUUUUUGUCUCAGUUUAAAUUCCAUCAGCUUUUCUUUUUCUAUGAUAUAACACCACUUAUUAGCUCCUACCUUACCCCUUAAAUGUCAGUAGUGGAAACUUCCUUAGCUGAUAAGUACAAAUUCUUUUAAAGGAGAUUUUGGCUUCAAAAGCCAAUUUUAUGAAGUUGGUUCAACCAAGGCUGGAGACUAUUUCACCACUAUUGCCUCCAACCAAAUAAUUCUAUGAUUUUUCAAAAACCAUGCAUGAUCUCAGCCUGAAAAACUGGGAAUCUUGUUCACUUAAGUGUCUUCUUUUCUCCGUUCCAGCAUACCUUUCUUUGACUGAGCGUAUCUGUGAAUUUUUCCUCUCCCCACUUCUGGGCAUUGCUGCCCCUGUCCUUUCCCUCUUUUACUAAAGGAAUUUCAUAGUGCAUGAUGAUUUAGUGCCCUUAAAACUUAUAUUUAUGCUAGAUGAACCCAAUAUUUCAUUCUAAAGUUAUUCUUUUCUGAUUUUCAGUUUUGCUAUGGAAAACCAUGGCCUGCUAUGUGUUGAUUUUUUUUAAUGUUAAUGUAGUAGUUUGAUAUAUUUUUUGUGCUAAUAUUUCAUUUUUCUGUGGUUGGAAAUAUUUCUGCUCAGUUGGGUGUCAAUGGUGCUUUUUGGAUCAAUCUUUGACUGGUAAUGUAAUGUAUUUGAGCAUGUUAAAUAUGUACAUAUGUGCAUCUGCGUGUGCAUGUGUGUGGUAACUUGUUUGAAUCAACUUGGAUUCCAGAGUUGAUUAUUUCCAGUUGUAAGAAACUGAUGAUAUUAAUGCGGGCUGUUGGAAAAGAAAACCUUCCUAUUAUUAUGUUUGAACAGAACUGAAAACACAUGCUUAGAACUGGGGAAGUAAACAGUACUUUAAUUGCAUGACCAGAUAAAAAAUUAACAUGGGAUGCACAUCGAGGAGAAAAAUUGAUGUCAAUGGCCAUCAGAUUCCUCAAGAGAGAUGAAGUAAUGAAUCUAUGAAUCUAAGUGUCUGUUAUUAAAUCUAAGCAUGACAGGAUGAGGGCAGUAGUGAAGCUUUGCUGUUCAACAAUGUACUUGAAUACCAUUAAAGCACGAAAGCUGAACUUGAUUGAAGGCGACUAAUAUUGUGGAAGUUGGUAGAUUUCAAUUGCGUCGGAAAUAGCUUUGUUGAGUUGACUCAGCAAAAAGGUAAAGAAAUUGGGACGUCCUCAAGAGCUUUCUAGCUAUGGUUGUGAGUGAAACUUGGACCUCAAUGACAUGUAAUUUUUCCUCUUGGGAUAAGUAAUUUCCUUUUCAUAUGUAUGUUUGACUUCGAUAGUUGAUAUAUUGAUUAAGUACAUAAUUGUUAACUGUAUUAUGUGCAUGAACAUCGUAGUGGCUAGACACCUGGUGCAGAAUUUGCCAAAUAACAAAAUCAACUAAUUUUUGUGUUUAUUUUGGGUGGCAUUGUUUGAGUAGUCACUCUCUUCAUUAAUAAGUACAAAAUUGAAAUCACUACAGCUGAAAAUGAGAUAAUCUGUCGACCUUAAUGUUUGAAAUCGACCAAACUUGAGCCAUAUGUGUCAGGGAACAAGCAGAAUAUUAUGUUCUAUCUUAUUAAUUUUUUUUUUUUGCGCAGGUUUUACGAAGGCGCUAUUGAUUCUUUUGAUCCCUUGAGGAAGAAACAUAAGGUGAAAAUAUUGACAAUGACAGCCUAAACCUUUACGUUUGCUAUUAUUUAACUCUUUCAAAUUCAUCCUUGGUUUGCUUCAUCCUUUAUUAUACCUCCAUUUUCUUGCUUUUAGGCUCUGUUUUUUAUCCUUACCUCAACAUGAGAUAAGAAUACUUUGUAAACCUUCACCCUAUUCUUUUGGAUUAAAACAUUUUGCUGGUGCAUUUGUGACAUAUUAAUUCAUCUUAACUGCAUGAAUAAGCAGUCAUCUUAGUUUCUAUACUGUAAUUUUACAUGCUCAGGACCACAGUUUUCUCUCACUGGUUUGAAAUUUUGUGGUGAUCGAGAAUGUGCUGAUGUUAAAUGGUUAAGUUUGUUUUACGAGUGAUCACAUGCUUACUGUCCUUGUUUCAGGUUUUUUAUGUUGAUGGUGAUGAGGAGAAUUUGAAUCUAAAAAGGGAACGUUGGAUUUUGCUUGGCGGCAGUUCUUGUCAUCAAGUUAGUCACUGAUUUUCUAUCUGUCACCUUUCAAUUUUUUUUUUUUUUGGGCUGCUGCUCUCAAGUACUGUUUGAGACAGAUGAGUUUAUUCUUUUAGAUCCUCAAAACGUGUUUCUGUUGAAAACUUGUCUUUACUUUGUUAUUACCAAGUUUUUUCAAGUCGUCAGUCAAGCUUUUCUUGGUGUUGUUCUUCACUUCCCUUAUAUCAGAAUAUGCAUAACUAGUUUAAUUCUCAUGUUCACCUUACCGAAAAUUCAGUUUUCUUUUGUGGAUUUUAGAUGUCAUGACAUUCCCUCUGAACAUCUGUACAGUAUGCUUUGCUGGCUUGCUUGUUAUCCAUGGAUGAUGAUUGUUUUUUUGAUCAAUUUAGUCACUUAACUGGUUAGGGAUUUUUAAGAUUCCCUUUUUUUUUCCAAUUUCAAGAGUCAAUACAGUUGGAAGGGAAAAAAAAAAGAAAAGGAAAAAUACAAAAUAAUUAAAAUGAAAAAGAGAGAAGCUGUCGUAAUAGAUACAAUCUGAAUAUUGACCUUGAAAACAGAUUAAAUCCUUUGAAGUAUCUUUUUCUAGGAUAGAAGGUUUAUCUAUCAGUAUGUGUCUUGGUCAUCACUUCUGGUAUAGGAUGUUUUUCUAUGAUGGAAGUUUUAUCUAAUUCUUUAUAUCUUGGCCAUUACUUCUGGUAUAGGAUGUAUGUGCAAGUGACUCUCACAUUUAACUUCUAGAACGUUACUCCACUGAAACAAUAAUGUCUUUUCUCCAGUCAACUUUUGGUGUUCUUUAAGUUGGAGGGGCAGGCAUUGGAAGCAUGAACACUUAAUCGAAAUUUCAACCAAAAGCUUCUUCUUUUUAGAUGUGCUUAUAUUUCUUUUCUUACUGAGGCUUAUAUUCACUUUGGCUGAUUUAGCAGAUGAAAACGAACACAAAGAAUAUGUACAAAGAUAAAACAGCAAGAUCUUUCUGUUUUUUCAACAUCAAAAUAUAAUUGUUAUUAAUAGUUUUUCCUUCAAAAUUAAGCUAUAUAUUCCAGACAUGAGACUGUAUCUGUUGUCUCUGAUUCAUCAGAGGGUUGUUUGAUUCCAUGUCUGGAGUUCUGUAUAAGAAUUGACGAGUUGAACUUUUUCUGAAGACAAGAUAAUUUGUUUUUUGUUAAGCAAAAUUAGCAGAUCAGGCAUGUCAAAUGGUUGGCAUUCUCCUGUUUGACUUGCUAAUGUCUUUGGUCAGUCUAGUUUAGAUCGUAUAGAAUCCCAUUGUAUAUUUUGCUGCUUUGUCACUAAUCUUUCUUCUGUUUGAAUAUUUACAUUAAAAUGUAGGGAUUGGCCGUAGUUUAUGUAUCUUGAAUUAAUCCUUGAAUUAAUCAGGUGAUGGUGGAGGGGGAAACAACUGCCUCUCAUCUUGUGGAAACUGAAGCUCAGCUUUGCAAGUCACUUAUAGAUGAUUGCAAAGCUGAGGAGGCAGACACUAAUGACCAUGGAUUAGAUGAUAGGAGUUCAUCGAAGAUAUUGCAGUUUGAUGAAAAAAUUGAGCAGCUGAAGAGCAUGGCUGAAAUAUCUUUCGCCUCUGGAGCUUUAGAAAGUGGAGGGGAAAUGCAACCAAGAGCAAGAGUAGGAGUUACGCCAAAUAGAAGGAAAAGAAAACCCAAUUCUCUUAUAAAACCAGUUGAAGUUUAUACUGAGGUAUUAUGUUUCCUUAUUGAUGUGUCGGUGCAUUUCUACCUGUAAUUAAAUUUUCAGAGUAAGCAAAGUGGACAUAGUUUUGUCACCACGCAAAUAAGAAUUUAGGAUGUUCAAUUUGAUACGAGGGAGUACAAAUCUUAUUUUUCGUGUAAAAGGUGAAUCAAUUCUUGUAGCUUCAGUCUAAAGAUUUCUACUAUAGAAAAUAGAUCAAUGGAAUCUUAGUUGGCAUCUGCUGAGAACUUGAGGAAGCACCCUGUUCUCUUCACAUGCUUGUUAGCAAUGAUCAACUAAAUUUCUUGCCUGUCUGAUAUGCCUCGUUUUGAAGCUUUGUGUUUGUUGCAAUAUCCUGACGUGAUUUUCAUAUCUGCUUUCUAACGUCCAAAUAUAUCAUUUUAUACUACUUCAGGGUUGCAAGAAGCCUAGAAUUGUCAAAGAAUAUGGUGAAGAGUUAGUCGGUUCAAGGAUAAAGGUCUGGUGGUCCAUGGACAGUGAGUAAGUGACUUAAAUUGUUGAUAAUGCUCGAGAGACAAUAUAUUGAUCCUCUGUACUUUUUUUGUAAGUUGAAUCUCUGAAUGUUGCUAUUAUCUUGACUUUGGUCCAGGUGGUUCUGUUUCUUUAAAACAGUUAAAGAGUGCUAGGAGAGUCAUCUGGGUAGCAUUGUUGUAUGGGUGUUGGAUAUCUGUAACUAUACUCAUCUUAUUUCCCCACCUCCCCCCCCGCCUUCUUUCUGCUUGAUUUUGACAUGUCGUUCCACCUAAACUACAUCAACUACAAUCCUCCCCACUCUGUCUCAGUUUAAACUCCCAUCUUUUUAUUUUUUUUGUUUUCUAUAAUAUGGUACGAUUUAUAAUCUCCUGCCUUACCAAUUAAACACCAUCAGUGGAAGCUUCCUUAACUGAGAAGUAGAACUUGUCUUAAAGGAUGUUUUGGCCAAAAAGCCAAUUUUGUGAAGUUGGUUUGGCCAAGUUAGGAGACUGUUUCACCACUAUUGCCUCCAAUCCAGCAAGACUAUGGUUUUUCAAAACCCAUGCAUAAUCUCAACUGGUAAAACUAGAAUCUUGUUGGCUUAUUGACUUCUUUUCUGUAGUUCUAGCAAACCUUUAAUUGACCGACAUCUGUGAAUCUUUUCCUAUCCCAAAUUCUGGGCAUUUGCUGCCCCUAUCCAUUUUCCUUUUACUAAAGAAUUUCAUAGUACAUGAUGAUUUAGUCCCUCAAAACUCAGGUAUUUGUUGCUACAUAAAGUUGCUGUUUUCAUCCUGAAGUCAUCCUUUUCUGAUUUUCAAUUUUGUGAUUGAAGGUUGUGGCCUGUGUUAACUGUUAGAUUUAUUUAUUUAUUUUGUUUGUAGUUUUAGUGGUUAGGAAUAUUUCUGGCCAGUUGGGUGUCAAUGGUGAUUUCUGCUUUAAUCUUUCAUUGAUAAUGUAAUGUAUGUGAGCAUGUUAUAUAUGAACAUAUGUGUCUCUGUGCAGUGUGUAUGUGGGUGGUAAUUUAUUUGUUUGAAUCAACUCAGCAGCUGUAAUUGAUUAUUUCCAUUUGUAGGAAGCUCAUGAUAUGAUGCAGGCCAUUGUAAAAGAAAAUUUUCCUAUUGUUAUCUUGAAACAGAAUAGGGAAAAAGAUGAGAUAUCAUGAACAGAUAGUGAAAAUUCUCCCGGAGGGAUGAAAAAAAAAAAGCUUAGAACUGGGGUAGUAAACAGUACGCUAACUGCUAUUACCAGAUAAAAGACUAACAGGGAUGCAUGUCGAGGAGGCAUAGUGAUGUUGAUGGACGUCAGAUUCCUCAAGAGGUGAAGUAAUGAAUCUAAGUGUUUCUUAUAACAUUAAUAAAUCUCCAAUGCUACUUGGGAUUACUUUUGACUUUGGUAGUUGAUAUAUUGAUUAGAUACAUAAGCAUAGAUACACUAUGUGCAUGAACAUCCUACUGGAAAGACACCUGGUGCAGAAUUUCCCAACAUGACAUCCUAGUUUUCAUGUUUACUUUGGAGGGCAUUGUUCGAGGAAUGCUCCUCCAUUUCAUUGAUAAAUGCAAAGUUGAAAUUUCUGCAAUUGAAUAUGGGAUAAUUUGUCAAACUUAAUAUUUAUGUCAGAGAACAGGCAGAAAGUUGUGUUCUAUCUUAUCCAGUUCCUUUUGUGCAGGUUUUAUGAAGGUGUUAUUGAUGCUUUUGAUCCUUUGACGAAGAAACAUAAGGUGAUAAUAUUCACAUUCAUAGCCUAAACCUUUACUUUUGCUAUCAUUUACUCUUCUAAAAUCCAUCCUUGGUUUUGCUUCAUCCUUUAUUAUGCCUCCAUUUUUUGCUUUUAGUCUCUGAUCUCUGUCCUUUCCUCAUAAUGAGAUAAGAACACUUUGUAAACCCUCCUCAUAUUCUUUAAGAAUAAAACAUUUUUUUGGAAGAUCCAUUUGCUGGUGUAUUUGUUACAUAUUGAUCCAUCUUAGCUACUUUAAUCAGCGGUUGUCUAAGUUUUUUUUAUUGUAUUGUUACAAGCUUAGGAGCACAGUUUUCUCUCACUCGUUUGACAUUUUUUGGUGAUUGAGAAUGUGCUGAUGUUGAAUGGAAGUAAGUUUUUUUUAUGAGUCAUCACAUGCUUCUUGUCUUUGUGUCAGGUUUUAUAUGUUGAUGGGAACGAGGAGAAUUUGAAUCUGGAAAAAGAAAGUUGGUUUUUGGUUGGCAACACUUCUUGUCAUCAAGUUAGUUGCCUGAUUUCCUACUUUUUCUUCAUUAUGCUAUUUGUGGUGUUUCUGUUAUCGCCUCCCCCCCCCCCCCCCCCACCCAAAAAAAAAAAAAAUUCUCUCCCUCUCAUAUAUUGAUGAGAUCUCUGUGAUGUGAUAUUGAUAGAAUAAACAAUCAAACCUUUCAAUUUCUGCUGCUGUGGCUUUGAAGUACUGUUUGAGACAGCUGUCAUUAUCCUUUAUUAAGGAUUUUCAAGUUGUCAUUAAGCUUUUCUUGAUGUUGUACUUGCCUUCCCCAUAUCCGAAUUUGUAUAGGUAGUUAAUUCUCAUGUUCACCACACUAAGAGUUAAGUUCCCUUUUGCAGAUUUAUGUUGCCAUGACAUGCUCCCAGAACUUCUGUACAGUAUUCUUUUGCUGGCUUGCUUGUUAUCUACAGAAGAUUAUUUUCUUGUUUGAUCAUUUUAAUCACUUAGCUGGUUAGGGUUUUCAAACAUUCAUUUGUUUCAAAUCCAAGGAUCAAUCCAGUUGUCAAAAAAAAGAUAAAAUUAUUGAAACGAAAGGAGAGAAACUAUUGUAAUAGAUAGAAUCCUAAUAUUGACCUUGAAAACAAACUCAAAUCCUUUAACAUAUCUGUUUAGAGAAGUUUUUUCUUUAUUUGUAUGUCUUAGCCAUAAUUUCCUGUAUAGGAUGUUUUGUCUAAAAUAGAUGUUUCAUCAAUGCUUUAUCUCUUGGCCAUUACUUUUGGCAUAGGAUGUAUGUGGACUGCACUUUCAAAUUUAACUUUUAGAACAUUCCUCCACUUGAACAAUAAUCAUGGGCAUUUCCUCCAGUCAACUUUUGAUAUCUUUAAACAAGAGGAGCAGGUAUUGGGAGCAUUAACACUUGAUCCAAAUUAGAAUUAGAGGUUUUUUUCCCCCGCUUUUUAGUGCUUAGAUUUCUUUUCUUACUGAGGCUUAUGUUUGCCGUUGCUGGUUUUGCAGAAGAAGAAAGCAAGCACGGAGAACAUUUAUAAGAGAAAACAAGAAGAUGAUUCUGUUUCUUCAGAGAAAAGGUUUGUCGUUUGAUAACGUUGUCUUUUCUUCAGAGUUUGAGUUUUUGGAAUUUUUAUGGCAUUCACGUCAUCUUCACUACUUUUUUUGUUGUUAUCAAAUGAAUUGCCAAGGGCUUUAUAACAGCCAGAGAGUUUCUGCUUUUAGGUACCCAACUCGAGCCCGAAAAGCAUCAAGUCUUCUGCUGUAGGUGAUCUGACAAAGGAUGAUAAGGAAACAAAGGAUGAGGACGAGAAUCUCAGAAGCAAAGCUCUCAAGGAUGCAAGUAAAUCUAGCAUGUAGCAGCUUAGCUACACAACCAAGAAGAUUAUUUCAGCAAGAACUCCAUGGAUAUGCAUGGAAAAUCGCGAUGCUGCGUCUUGAAAAUGGGCACAACUAAAUGGCCUGAAAACACAGACAAUGUCAUUAGGCUGAUGACAUGGUACUUAAAUUAAGAGUGGAUGAUUUGAAUUUUUGUAGAACUGGAUUUUGUUUUUAUUAUUACUGCCAAAACAUCCCAGUUUUGUGACUAUUAAGCUGAAUUAAAGUCAUCAAGCUGAAUUAAAGUUUCACGAAGUUUCACAAGUUCAUAGCUGAUUCCUGUACUUGUUAGGCUGGUCGACUGAGCUUUGUUGGUGCCUUCGCAGCUAUCGUGCUAUGUCUUGUGAAUUGUGGCUUGUACUCUCUGUUUACUUCGGGAUUCUACAUAAGUCCUUAAGAUGGUUAGGCUAACAGGAAGUUGAGAUGAUGGGAGGGAGGAUUGGUCAAAGGUCGUUUUGCAUUUCUUUUGUUUAUUUGUUAAAUUAGCAUUCUUUCAGCUUGUUGAAUGCUAACUCGGACAUAGGUAAAGACAAUGAUCAAUAAAAGUUCAUAUGGUACAUAAAAAUUGCUAGGCGUGAAGUGAAAAUGCAAUUACAAGAUUAUGUGCACAAAACAGAAGUUGUACAUGCCACAAAUAUUCAUUAACUCCAAACAUUGAUAUCAUUCAUCCAAAUAAUAAAAUUAGCAAUUUGACAAUAUGCAAAUGCAUUGAAGGCAUGUAUAAUUUUUAAAACGAAUAGGGUAUUUCUUGUAAUCAUGUUCGGGACAAUGAUUAACAGGAACAUUAGGAAGAUUAGUUUGGAGGAAAAAAGAAACGAAAAGAGUGGUAAUUAUUGAUAAAAAAAAAAAAGAAAAAUGAUCAUUUUGUUAGGAAGUACAAAUAAGAAUUCUGCCAACUCGCUGGUGUAGAGUUGAUUAAUUUAUUUUUCCUAAUAUAAAUAAUACACAAAUUUAAAAUCUCUCUUUCUUGGCAUUUUACUAUUUGAAGUCAAUGUUUAACAGCAUAUAGGACAUCAUUAGAAAGUUUUACUAACCAGACAACAUUUUCCUUUAUGAAAUAAAAACACUCUAGAAAUUACAUGGGUUGGUGGUGAAUGGUUAAUUCUUUUCACACGAGUGAUUGUAACAAAAGCAAAUGAAGUCCUUGAUCAUUAUAUGAAUAGUCUUCGUGACCAAUCAGUGACAAGUUUGACUUUUACUACUCUAUUAAUUUUCUACACAAUAGUUAGCAUCCAAAACAAAAAAAGUUGUCUUGCUUUUGUGCUCCUUUAUGCUUGAUGAAUCAUCACAACUAACUUUUUUUUUUUUUUUUGUCAAAAAAAAGAACCUGGCCCCACUUCAGGCCCCAACCCUUAUUCGAGUUGUUGGGUUAUUCCCCAUUUUUGUGACAAGACUCGAACACUGGAUCUCGAGUGUACUAACCCUUAGUGAGACCAGCUCGGCUGCCUUGGAGGGUCAUAUCAUCACAGCUAACUCGGUGGUAUGAUUUUGAUAAGGUCUUGAACAGCUACUUAAUAUUCAUACAUCUUAAGAAAAACAGAAUAACCUAAGGCUUUCUUUGAGGGGAGGAGAUGGGUUGGGGGAGGAGGGAAUAUCUAAUUUAGGCCCUUUUAUUCUAAUUCCUAUGUUUUAACACACUUUACCUAGAGACUGGUUUGUGGUGCCAAAGCUAAAGCUGCCAUUGCCAUUGGGUUUGAAUGUUUUCUUGCCCAGUAAUGCAUCCCGUAAUGCAGAGCAAAUCUUCAAAAAAAUGAAGGCCAAAUAUCCCGUCUAUUGAGGAAAAUGUUGAAAUCUCUGAUCCCUGAUAUAGAUGCUUUGAAAUGAUUCACAUUUGCUCAUAACGUCGUUUCUAGCCUUCAUUGUUUCAAUGAUCUCUGUAUUGUUGAAUAUUUCAAUGAAGUAGUGGUAUUUUGACUAUUUUCUAAAGAACAAAGAUAUUUUGGUUUUUUUUUUUAAAGUUCCAAUAGUUGUAUAGAAAAGUCGGAUGUAUGGUUAACUAACUGAUUGAGAAUUGGGUACAAGAAGUUCUGCUUUCAUUUUGGCAUUUCUUCAAAUUGAGUUACCUAGGAAAUUGGUUCUUGGUUGUGUUUGGUAGCUACUAUUUUGCUCGAUUGAAAUCAUGACGAAAUAUUGAAAAGUACAUGUCAAAUUUUCAUUUUGCCAAUUGACAUACUUUAACAAAUAGAAGUUUUUACAAACUCUAGAAUAUUGACUAAGAGAAUAGGGUGGGAUAAGUAUUUGGAUUAAGUUUUUAUUUUAACUUUCAUAUUAUUUAGUUUAAAGUUUUAUAUUCUUAUUGUUCAAUUGUUAAAUAGUAAGUACUUUUGCGGCAUAGUGCACAGAUGAGAAAAAAAAUUAGUAAUUAGGCUUAUUAGACAUUAUAAAUAAAUAUUUAAAAUUAAUGAUGGGGUGCAAAGGGUGGAGUGGGAUAAGUUUUUGGAUUAUGUUUUUAUGUUAACUUUCAUAUUAUUUGGUUCAAAUUUUUAUAUUCUCAUUGUUCAAUUAUUAAAUAGUAUGCAAUUUUGCGACAUGGCGCACGAUGGGAAAAAAUUGGUAAUUAGACUUAUUGGCAUUAUAAGUAAAUAUUUAAUAUUAAUGAUGGGUGCAAAGAGUGGUAUAAAUUGAUAAUUUAGUUUACAAAAUAUAUUUAGAUAGGUUUGUAAAAAGUGAAAAUAAAUUGGUUGUAGAUGGAUAAUUGGAUUACCCCACCCAUUUUUUGACUUACUUAUUUAUACCCAUCUAAUUAUAUAUAUAUAUAUAUAUAUAUAUAUAUAUAAUAAAGUCGUAUUCUCAUUCUUAUCCCUUUAUGUUUUCUCUUUCUUACGUGGCUUAACGAGAUGGCAAGUAGUUUCCUACGUGGCUUGCUCCUUUUUUGUUUAUAUAUAUAUCAAUUCUUAUUCCCUAUAAGAAUUCUUAAUAUUAUAUGAUUCUUAUUUCCUAUCCAAAAAAAGAAUUGGAAAGUAAUGCGAUAUAAAUAAAAGAGAAAUAAAUAUCUCUAUUAGAUAUAUCUCCAAAUUCAUGCCAAUAAUUUGUGUACUGCAUAGGGAGCCGAAGUAAAUAAGAAUUGUUAUCACUAAAAGAAGUAGAAAAGUAACUAAUUUCAAAAGGAACCAUUAAUAACAGAAGUCAAUAUCUGAUGUUGGAAAUAAGAUUCUUAAUAAAUUUUAUUAUUAAGUACGUUAUCAAGACAUAGUGCAUAGCACGAAAUUUAUGGAAAAGAAAAAGUUAAUUGAAUCCAAUUAACUAUAUGUAUUUGACCCGUAUGGUUAAAUAUAAAUUUCUAUUUGAGCACGGGUUUGUAAAUUUCUAUAAACCCGUUCAUUGUUAAUCAAAAUAUGCAGGUUAUACUCAUGACUAGGUUAUAAGAUUCACAAUACAUCUCUGCUCAGAUGGUGGGGAGUAUUUAGUGUGUGGACCCACACCAUAGGAGUCCAUGCACUAAAAGGACUCGAUAUAGUUGAGGUGGUCUUUCAAGGUAGGUAAAGUUUGUCUUGAGAACGCAUUUUUAUUUCCUAUAAGAAUUCUUAAUAUUAUAAGAUUUUUAUUUCAUACCCAAAGUUACGUACUUUAAACAAUUUAAAUCAAGAUAAACCUACUUUUAAUGUUCUCAUCAAUAUCUUUUUAUAUUCUUAUCAAUUAUUUCUUAUGCCUACACUACAUAUAGCCUCUAAUAUAUUGAUUUCAAACAUCAAAUUCAUGGUUAGGUAUUUUCAGUGCAAGCGGUUGGCACAUUAAAGCAUCGAUUUUUGGUUUCCACUCCUCUUGAUUAUCAGGUACAUUUUCUUUCAAUACAUAUUUUUUUAAAAAAAAGGCAUGUUGAUCUUCAAUUGUAAAAGUUUAGUAACAUAUCUUGAAUUUUGUUUUUAUUUUCUGUUUGUUUUUUUAUGAACACAUAGGAUUAGUAAUAUAUCUUGAAUUAGUAAUAAAAAUUUCUCUUAUAUUUCACAUAUUAUAUCUCACAUAAUAUUUUUGCCUUUAAUUUUGAUAAAUCAUUAUCAGAUUGGUGGAACCGACAACCAAUACCAACCUGAAGCAUCUUCUUCCUAGAUCCCAAUUAGUAUAAUAGAUUAUUCUAAUCAACAACAUUUCAAUACACUUCAUAUGAAUUAUUCAUCAGAGGGUUCAACAAAAACCACAGAGGAAGGGAAUCCUCAUAAAAAGAUUUGCAUGAGAAGGUAGAUUUAAUAUAUUAUUUUACUUUCUUAAAUUAUAAUCUUUACGUAUUGUUAUACACAAUCUUGAAUGCGAUAAAUCAUUUUUUUUUUUUAUACUUAGUUAUCCUGCUUUGCUAUCAUGCAGUGAUAAUGGAAAAUCAAUAAAUGCUGAUUUGCACGGACAAAUCGAGGAAAUGUUCAAACAGAAGAAAAAGAAAAACGAGUUUCUGAAGAGUAGAAUAUUAUUUGAUACUAUUUACUGCACUUUUUAUUUAUUUUCAAGUUUUUGAAUGUUAUGGUAUUGUCGAAUGUUAUUUUUUUCAUUUUUGAAUUAUUGUUUACUGAAUUAGAUGUUCAAAUUUAUAUUAUAAGAAUACUUUAUAUUACAAUGCGCAUAUAGUAAUAUACUUAAGAAAGGUUAUAAUAAAAUAUACAUUAAGUUUGUAUUUCAUAUCGACAUUUUUAUAAAAUUGACUAAAUAGAUUAUUAUUUUUCGAAGAUUCCCGUUCAACGAACGGGUACAAAACUAGUUAAAUGAAUAUAAAUAGAUUGACUCACUUAUACCUAUGACCCAUUUUAACCCACCCAAAUCAACCAUUUAACACCUCUAAUUUUAGCCUCCAAUGUGAUUUGAUUGAGCAUUUUAUACAUGCAACAACAGUAACUCUGUUCUUGAGCUAGAUUUUGAAUCAUUUAUUACAUCAAUUCCCAAGCCAACUCUAAUGAAGUCUAUUGGCAAUGAAGCAGAGUUUCUUAACAAAUAUAUUUCUACCCCCAUGUUCCAUGACAAAGAGAGUAUGGCCUAUCUUCUUCUUGAGUUUCUUCAAUCCCACCAUUACAAGGGUAAGGUAAACUAUCACCGUCCAAUCACAUGUGCAAUCUAAUAGCAAUACAAAAUGCUACAAUCUUAUUCACUAUCUCUUAUUCUAAGCAAAAUAUUGAAUUUUCUUGUGCUUAGAUUGAUAAUAAACAAUAGUUAACAUGAAAGUCAGAGAAUUUUAGUACUAUUCUUGAAAAUACCCAUGCAUAUGUAAUUCAUGUGAAAUUAUAUUAUCAAGUGCUUCAGAAGUGUCCUCCUCACAAUGAAGUAGAUGUAACAUGUGUUCUAAAUUUACUUACUGCUACAUUCUUUAAUCUUGUUUAAUGCUAAAUUAGAUGCAGGCAAAGACAACGAUCAUCAAAGAUUCAUAUAGUACAUAAAAAUUGCUAUGCUUGAAGUGAAAAUGCAAUUACAAGAUUAUGUGCACAAAACAAAAGUUGUACAUGCCACAAAUAUUCAUCACUCCAAAAAUUGAUAUAACUCGUUCCAAAAAUUAAUAUAGGUAUUUGACAAUAUGCAAAUGCAUUUAGGGCAUAUAUAAUUUUCAAGAUGAGUAGGGUAUUUCUUGUAAUUAUACUCUGGACAAUGACUAACGGCUAAAUUAGGAAGAAUAGUUUGGAGAAAAAAAAGAAAAAGAAAAGAGAGUAUUGAUCAAAAAAAUUAUCAUUUUAUUAGAAAGUAACGUGAGUGCUAUGCGUGCUUUCUCAGAAAUAGAAUGCUGUCAAGUUUCUUGUGUGGAAUUGAUUAAUUUAACUUUCCCAAUAUAGAUAAUAUGCAAAUUUAAAAUCUCUCUUUCUUGGCAUUUUACUACUUGAAGUCAACAUAUAAUGGCACAUAGGACAUCAUUAGGAAAUUUUACCAAGCAAACAACAUUUUUCUUUACGAGACAAAAACAUUCUAGAAAUUAUUUUCAAAUGAGUGAUUGUAACAAAAGCAAAUUAAGUCCUUGAUCAUUGACUAAAUGACUUCAUGACGAAUUAGUGACAAGUUUGAUUCUAAUCGAUGCAAAUUGAGUGCUCAUUUUGAUUCUAAUGGACUAAAUGUCAUAUUAGUAAUAUGUGAGAGACAGUUAGUGUACUUUUUCCAAAUAAAAAAGUGAAAUUCCAGUUUCCCCUAUGAACUCUAAUUCAUGCUUUGAGAGAUGUGCUACUUCCAUUUAAAUGUAAUCCUAGAUGCCUUACAACAAGUAAUUGAUCCAUUAGAUUGUCUUUGUAGUUAAACGUUGGUGAUUUUGGCUCUAGUUACUAUCAUUAUGCAAAGUAAAUCAUGAGACCAUAGGUCGAGGAAGUGGUUCAAUCACAGUAGAGCUAGAACCUUGUGGUAAGGAGAUACAAUAGUCAACUUUAGCAUAAAUCAUGCUCUUAGAUUGAUAUAAGAAAUAGGAUAUUUACUUUGAUUUAGAAUGCCAAAUCCUUUUUUUUUUUAAUUAGAGUGUUGUUAAUGUUUAAUUUGGAAUAGAUCCAAAAUUUUUGUUAGAAAUAAUCAAUAAAAAAUCUUAUUUUUAAGGAAUAAAUGUAGAAUAAGGGAGGAAUAUAUAAAAUUUCAAAAGAUAAUCAAUAUAGAGAAAGGAAUUUUCUUAAAUUUAAGGGGGACAAUACAACUAAAAAGGAGAAUUUUAUGAAAUUCAAGGGUGCAAAUAUGAUGCAAACUUAAAACUCUUGAAAAAUUUCAAGACCAUUGUAUAAUUUUAUCAAAUUUGUGAGGGACAAUUGCCCAUCUACAAUCCUAUGUGACUUCACCGUUUUUCAGUCAUACCUAAUGAAUCAACAUGUGUUGGCUUAAGGAGCAUCCACUUCAUAGUGAAUUAUCUUAGUGCUAAAUUCUUCUCUCGUUUCUAGUACUAACUUAAGAUACAAGUACAACAAUAUGCCAUAUGGAUUGUUCUUUUUUUAAAAAAUUAUUUUUGUUUGUGAAGUUUACAAUAACUUCAAAAAUACAGACAAUCUCAAAUACACCUAAAAAAAAUAAAAAAAAAAAUUAAUUUCCACCCAACAGACAUACCACCACCACCCACUAUUACCACCACUUCCUUCCUCCUCCUCUCUCCUCCCUCUUCCCUCCCCUCUUCCUUUCUUUCCCUCCCUCCUGUGGCGGCAGUGGUGGGUGGUGUUAUUUUCAAAUUUUAAAAAAUAUUAAAAUUUUUUUAAUUCUAAAAAUAUUUUAAAAUACAUCCUCAAAAACACCCUAAAAAAAUACCUUCAAAAACACUUAUAAAAACACCUAACUAUCUGUAGUAAAAGUUUUUUUUUUACAAACACUGUUACAAUAAAAUUUUUAAAUAAGCACCCUAAAAAAUACCUAAUCCAUGCGAAGCCAUGAUUAGAAAAGGUUAGUAUGAUGCGUGAAAAUUGUUAUGCAUAAAUUUGCCGAACAAUCAACCUAUAUCUUUUCAAAAGAAAGUGAAUGUAAGAAAAUAUGACCUUAUUAUGUUUUUCAUGAAUAAUCAUGUUCUUCAAAAUAGUUAACAUCGAAUCUAGGAAGAAUAAUUUGAAGAGAAAAAUGACUGGUUUAUUAUAAAUAAAAGUAUAAAAAUAUACUAAGAAGGAGCACUAACUAUUUCACACUAACUAUAAUUUAUUAAACUCGUGGAGUUUACUAAUGGAGUUUGCAUGAUAUAGAUAACAUACACAUCCAAAAUCGCGCUCACUUGAUGGUGACUUUCUUCCAUUAUAUUGCUGGUGGUCUACAAUUGGAAGCAUAUUUUCUCGGAAUUGGAAGCACUUAAAAGUGUUUUACAAUGAAGACUUCUAUGGUUAGAUCUAUCAAAUUGUCAACUGUUUUAGAAGUAUCCACUUCAUAAUAACUAAAUAACAUACAUGCAUGUUUGUGUUUGGAUUGCUAUGUUUUAAAGUUUUAUAGAAAAAUUUGUUGUAACGAUUUCAUGUAUAUGAGGUAAAGGUGAUUGGAAAUUGUGAUCACAAAAAAUGUAAAAUUUUUCCUAGAAAAAACCUCAAUCCAAACAAGGAAGCGCUUCUCUGCAGAUUUCUCUCAGCUAAUUAUACUAAUUGAGAAACAGGCAAGACAUUAAUUAUUGCAAAUUAAGGUUGGUAGAUUAGUUGAAAAAUAUUUUGCUUUAACUUGCCAAACAAUCGACCAAUACUCUAUUUGCGCACAGGCAUUUAGGGCAUAUAAAUUUUAAGAUAAGAAAAAUUGAUUUCACUCCAUUUCUAAUGUAUAAUCAAAAUUUCCACACAAAGCUAAAAUCUAAUCCAGGAAGAAUAGAUUCGAGGGGAAAAUGGCUGAGAUGUUAACUGUCGAUCCAAAAAAAAAAAACAUAAACUUAAUUUAAAGUACAUUUCAAGAGCCAAAUUGCUUUAAAUCUUUUUCAAUACUAAAUAAUCCAAAUGUUAAAUCACAAAAUCACUCAAAUGCAUGCUCAUAAACAUAUAAACUGCAUUUGUAUUGUCCCGGCAUCUUUAUUAUUUAGAUAACAUAGGAAGCUUCUCUCCCUUUGACUGUUCUUGUAUUUAAUUUUAUUUACCUUUUUUGACAUCAUUCUUUUUCUUUAAUUCUGAAUGACUUCUUUUUCAAUACUAUUCUUCAUUACUAUAUAUGAUCAAUUUCAAAAGCAUCCCUAACAUAGUGAACUGACCUAUCAUCCUCUAAAUUACCCUUCUAUGUUUUGAUUUCAAUCUUUAGAUGGAAAUAUUGCUGCCUGCCUUUAAAUCAUCAAGUCAGACUUCGAUAGAGUUUGUUUUAUUAAAGACAAUUAAUUCACAGUUAUUGCUACAUGCACAAGAUAUGCACGAUAAAUUUGUAUCGAAAACAAUCUACUGAGCUUGAUUGUCUUCAGAGUGGAAUGUAGCAUUUUGAUCAUUCCACCAUAUGAUUCUGAGAAUGCUUUGGUUCUUCCCAAAUCUUGUUGCAAUCUUGAUUAUAUAGUCAAAAUGAGCCAAAUUCUUGGAUGGAUUCCAAAAAAUGGAGUUGUUAAAAGUUAUUGCUCUGAUUUUCAGUUCACUAUUUACUAUAGAUUGAUCCAACCCAAUUAAGACAAACUCAGCUAUGUAAAAGUUGAUGGUAAAUGGAACUUGAUUUUCUUUUUUGAAAAAUAGCUAGGUAAUGGGCAUGGUUCUCUCAAAUUUCGUUUCGUCCCACUAAAAUGCUUUCAAAGCAAACGUAAUAUAUCCUUUGCUCAUCUCUACAUCGUAAGUGCAUCAAAUUAUGCACAUUUGGAUUGGAGAAUUUGACGAAAGAUUUGAAAUCCACUCAAAUCGCUCUAGUUAUUUGGGUAACUUUAGAUGCAUUUAGAUUUGUAAUUUACCAAUUAUCAAAAUAUAUUUUAAAAUGACAAUAACCGGCGAUUUACAAAUUCAAAUACCUUCUGAAUAAUUUAAACAAUUAGAGGGAUUUGAGAGUAUCUUUCUUCAAAUCCUUGAAUCCAAACGUAGCCUGAAAUUAGAGGAGUAAUUAGAGGUCCUGAAGGAAUUGUUAUUGCUGGAACUAAAAUGACCAUAGGGCACAGCAAUCAAACGGCAGAAUUACGUGCACUUUUUUCUUCUUUUAACGAAAAAUUAUGCGCACUUAAUGUAGGACUUGCAAUUGGAUUGAACUAAUAUCUCACCUCUAAUUAUUCAGUCUGAUUCUUGGGUUAUUGUGAAAUACAUAUGUAGACCUCCACAUGCAAACAAACUUGAUCAUGGAACGCGGGAUUGUCAGGACAUGUACUAUUGGCAGAUCCUUAAAUAAACGACCUGUCUACUUAGCAUCCCCUCCGGCUUAAUAUUUUGGGCAUGCAAGUUAUGAUGUACUAAAACUAAUAACACCUAGAAUAGGUCUUGCACAUAACCGUGUUUUAGUAAUGGAAUCUUUGUUUAUCUCAAACAUGUAUAAUGGUGCCUUAAUAGUGCUGGUGGCAUUGGCGCCUACUAUAUAAACCAUUUAACUGUUACUCCUGGGCAGCUCGUUUGGUCACGACAACCCCUUGGAAGUCGUUGUCCAACUCUCCCACCAGGGAUCGAGUCUCAGGAUUACCGUGUUCGGGGGAAGGGCCUCUCCUCUCAGGUUGGAGUGGGAUUAGUCGGGUCCCGUAAAGAUUGACCCGGACACCCACCCCGUCAGCCAAAAAAAAAAAAUAUAUAUAUAUAUAUAUAUAUACACACACACACACACCAUUUAACCACUAUCCCUUCAAUUUUAUCUUCCUUUAUAUAGAUUGGUAAUAGUUCACGUGAUUUGCAUGUGAUCACAGUAUCAUGAUAUAUGAUAUUUCUUAUACACUAAUUUUUUGGCAAAAUUUUAUUGUUAACAUCAUAAUUUAAUAUGUGCAUAUUUUUCAUCUUUUUUGACCAAUUAUCUUUAAAACUUUAUUUUAAAUUAACUGGAGGUAUCACCCAUUUGUUAAAUUUUCUCUAGAGAAUUUCUCUGAAUUUAUUGUGGACUUUUUUUUCUAGCUUGCUAAGCAAAAGAUAAUUGUUUGGACAAAUAAUGUUUGUUUGCUCUACCAUUAUUAUUUUUUAUGGUUUGCAAGUUGAAUAUGUUAGUACUUUGAUGUAAUUUUUCAAUAUGAAGUGAUAUGCAUUGUUUUUGAAAAAUGAAGGGAUGUACGCACAUUCUUUAAAAUUGAACUCUUUUGCAUUCUUUUGUAUGAUAUUUUUGUUAUUAAUGGAGUGUAAAUGAUCAACCAGAUACAAAGAUUUUAUGUAUGACUGUUCAUUUUUACAAUUGAAAUUUCAUUUCUCCAGAAUAAUUGAGUUUUUCUUUUUCCUUUCCUUUCCUUUUCUUUUAUUUUUUUUUGUGGAUAGAAUUUGAUACAAAGCACAAAUGACAAAGACUCCAUUAUCCUAAGAGCACCCUAUUUUUGUACCAAGAGUAACAUUUAUGACGAUUUAGAAAUUGAAUUAGGCUGUAAUUAAUCAAGAAAUUUAGAUCGAAAUAAAAAGUGUUGCUUUGUUUAUUGUCUUCAUAGUUCAACGUCAAUUAAGUUUUUAGUUUUUGGCCUUCAUAAGUGAUACCAUUAUUGACUAUUAUUAGAACAUAAUAAAUCUAAUUAUUAGGAAGAAAAGGCAUUUUUGGCAUAAUGUAAAAUUAAGACAAAUCUUACUUAAGCUCUAUUCUUCCUAAUUAAACCUAUACCAUACUUAUAUAAACAGGAGUAUUUGGAAAAAGCUGCACAAAGUAAGGCUACUUGGAACUGUUUCGUACCCUCUUUUCUUGUUCUCUUCUACCACAUAACUACAUAUUCAACAUAUGGCGGAGGACAGACAAAGCUUCAUCUUUGGAUCUGAGAUUUAUAUUCACUAAAGAUACGCCAUUAGAUUUACAUGGUGAAAAUGAAACUUAGUCGAAUGACGUGUCAAAUGUGGUUUUGGCAAGGUGACAUAUGAUUUGUCUUUCAUUAACUAUUGCUACCUCGGUAAAUUCAUUGCCCGUAUGUUGUUCGCUUGUCAUAGCAAAAAUCACAUUUUGCAUUUGAUUUAGCACAACGCAAAAUUUUUUAAGUAUCCAAAACGACAACCAUUUUCCCAACUAAGAAAAAAAAAAAGACAACCAUUUUCUUAAUGUAUACACUGUUUAUGUGGCAUUCCAUAAUUAACUUUCAGCAAAUGCCCAAUAUAACCAUUAUGGCAGCCAAUAAGGACUCAAGUGUCAACUAAUUUCCAACUUUUUUUUUUAACCUCUUAUAUCUUUUCACACCCUUCUCACUCCCAAUUAUCAGGAUUCGAAUUUUGAACUUAACAGUGAAAGGAGAUCUAAAUCAACUUCAACUUCAUUAAAGCAUAAUGAAAAAUUUUGAACAGCUAACACGAGUUAGUUCAAUUGGUAAGGACGGCCAAUUUUUUUUUUUUUUUUUUACAAAAACAGAUGUGUUUAAAUUCCAUUAUCAACAUUAGCACUGUGCUGUUGAACGACUUGUAAGUUUUAAAUGACUUAUGAUCCACCUGUGUUGAUGCUCGAAGCCAAAUCAAUUUUGAGCAAAUUGCAAUUCAGGAAAAGAAACCCUUGAGAAGGGCAUUAUGCUAUAAAAUGAAAUGAAUUGGUGAGUUCAAAGUGGACUUAUUUUGACUAAUAUAAGCAUGAAAAAGUUGAUUCAUCUCUCAUUAUAAGUAAAUAGAUUUUUGUUUAUAAACUCCCCGUGCAUUAUACGUGUUUUUUUUUUUUUUGAGGGCAAUACGUGCAUUAUACGUGUUUGGACUUGGUAAUCAAUUUUGAGGGUAAAAAACAAUAAUCGACAUUAGGAAGGGCCAACUAAAGACAAAAUAGAGCCUAAGAAAAUUAUGAAGUCAAAUUUUGUACUCACAUAUCAUUACAUCCCUUCAAGAUCUGCUCUUGUCAAGUCACUUCACUUCCCACAAUCCCACUUCAGUCAGCUGACUUCCCACUUAAAAGUGAAAAAUCCCACCAAAUUGUACGAACAAACACCGGAUUUCAAACUCAAAAUUUAGCUAAAAUGCAUAUACCACCCAGAAUCCGCGAGAAAUUCCAUCAGAAUUCGAAAAUUCCUCUGCAUGCAAAGCCAUUUCUUCUUGCAGAUGUCCUAGUACCUGUAACGGCUAUGUCUGAGAUUACCCAUUCAUGGCCAUAAUUUUAAAAAAUGCAGCUUAUUCUGUACUCUUAGUUAACUAGUUCUGCACUCAUCACUGCGUCAGCCCACAAAAACCUGCCUUUUCCUUUCAUCCGACGACGGAAGUUCCUAGGCUUAUUGAUAAAAUCUCCUUGAUUUCUUCAAUUUUCAACUCUUGGGGAGAAAUUUUGGUGCAGGGUCGACGAAUUAAGGGCCAAAUUCGAGUUGGGUUGGCAAAAAUAUAAGAUUUUGGAGGUGGGUUUUGGGAAUUAGGAGCUAGGUUGCCAGCAUUUCUUGGGUUGGGGUAAUUUUGCCUCGUGGCUCUGUGGGGAUUUAAGUUGGGCAAUGGAUGUUAACGGUUUGGGUGUUUUGGAUUCGGUGAAGGAGCUUCAACUUCAAAGCCAGCUGAUUGAAGCUGGGGUGAAGCUUCUGGUGCCAUCUUCUUCUGCCGAUGAUCUUCUUGCUGCCCUCGAUGUAAAGAUCAUUUCUUUUAUGCUACAUUUUCUGCAUUCUUUUGAUGUUGGCUUGAUUUAUAAUUUUGUUUUUAGCUAUUUUGCAUGCAUGUGAGAAAUCGUGUAAAAAUGUUUUUGAUUUGGUCUUAUUGGGGGUCCUAUAAUUCGUGCUAAAAGGUUAUUUCUUGAGCGUUUUUGUUGAUUUAGUUCUUUGGUUUUGGGUGGUUGAGAUUGUAAAUUGGCGCUUUAUUUAUUUGGUCAUGAAUUUGCUGGAAAAAUGUGAAUUCUUUCCCUAAUAUUGGGUUUGAUUUUGUAAACCACAAAAAAUAAUUGCAUACGUUUACACCAGUUGGUAAGAAAUAGGCUAGCACCAAGCACGCACGAGGCACUAAGAGUUGUUCCUAGUACAUUAUUGUUUCAUAAUCAUUUUGAAUAAGGCAAAAUAUUUAUCGCAUUUUUGUUGAUUUUCGUGAUCUUUAUUUCUCAGUCCGUAGGUUCAUGAUUGUUUGAUGGCUUACUUCUGCCUGAUAAAUAUUGUGAAUGAGGCUGUCCUUUUUCCUUGAUGAAUUUGUUAUUUGUUCAAAUUUGUCGGCUUACUUCUACAUACCAUUUUGCGUUCCACCUCUCAUAGUGUAAAUUAACCAUCAUCCUCUUUUUCAUUCUGUUGUUUAGAAAGUAGAGGACCUUUUAUCCAUUGUGGGUCAAGAUCCUUCCAGUUUGAUUCAAGAUGGGCUCUUGCCUUCGAUGAUGGCUUUGAUCUCUGAUAGGCUGCUUAGACAUCCUAAUACAGAUGUCAGGAUUUCAGUUAUGUCUUGCAUCUGUGAGGUGUUAAGGAUAAGUGCUCCGCAUCAACCUUAUGAGAAUGAAAGAAUGAAGGUAAGCUGAACACCUACAACAGUAUCUACUCUUUUCUGUAUUUGUUUGUCUGCUUCCUAUUGUAUACUUGUUUAGAGCCAGUUCUCAGCCUUUUCAUUUGCAUGCUGUACAGGAUAUUUUUCGGUUGACUUUAGCUGCAUUUGAGAAGUUGUCGCUUUUCUCUGGUCGCUGUUAUGCUAAAGCUUUGCACAUUCUUGAAAUCGUUGCAAAGGUCAGAUGCUGCAUCAUCUUGCUGGACAUAGGCUGCGACUCAUUGGUCACUAAAAUCUUUGAAGUCCUUCUAAGUACCAUUAAGUAAGGCUAAGAUGUUACAGCUAAUCUUUAAAAUGUAUUUUUAUUGUCAAGACAUUUUGAUUAACUGCCUUUUCUCUUUGGAUCUUGUAGUAAUUGAUAUUUGUUAGCUUCUUUAAAUUAACUCUAAUACUAACAAUUAAGGUUAUCUUGAAUUCGAACUUGUAAUAGCAUUCCCAUUAUGUCCUGCAAAUAUGAUCCGCUUUCAACUUCGUGAACUCCUCAUUUAGCAGCAAUGAAAUUGAAAAAUUUGCUGGACUCAUGGCAAACCUUUAUUAUUUGUUGUCGAGUGAUCAACUCAUGGUUUGCAAUGCAACUUGCAUAACGGAGUAAUUUAGAAAGUUGUACCAAAUUAAACAAAUUAGAGGUAUUCAUUUGCUAAUCUUGCACCUGUCUCAUGCAAGUCAACACAUUCAAUUGUGAUGUGCUGAUUGUUGUUGUGUUUGAAUGUCUAAUACAAGGUUCAACCACCCGCAAGCUGUAUUCUCAUACAUGGAAGAUAUUAUGACUUGGCUUUUAGAUGAGAGUGAUGACAUCCCAUUGGGUCUUUUAAAGCCGCUUCUAGCUAGUGUGAAAAAGGAAAACCAGGUACCCUUCCUUAUAUAGAUCUCUGUUUCAUUUAUUCUUGUUCUUGUUUUAUUAUUACUCAGUUACCUUUAUUGUUUGCCUCAGAUUACUUCACCCGUUUCCUCUUGGUUAGGAGAGAAAGUAUUAAAGAACUGCUCAACUAAAGUCAGACCUUAUCUUAUGAAUGCAGUGAAGUUAAUGAGGCUAGAUAUUAAUGAUUAUGCCGAUAUAGUUGCUUCGUUAUGCCGAGAUAUGCCAGCUGGGGACAAUGUGGUGCGAUAUCUUCUAUCCUUCAACUGACUUCUUUUUUGGCAAAAGGCAGAUGUAGUUAUGAUCUGUGCUCAUCUCCAAAUGUUCAUGCUUGCUUCUGAUAUAGUUUUUCGUUGCUCAUUGUAUUUGUGAUGAUGGAGAUAUGUUUGGACUUCCUAAAAUUUCUUGUUCGUUCUCCUUCACUUUGUUUAUAACGAGACAUUAGAAAAUAUACUAACACUCAUCUUCCCUUAACUAAUAGCAAAAUUUGAAGUCAUUCAGUAAGUUAAUCAACUUUAAGGAGUAACUUAUGCUGUCAGUGGUUGUUCAUUCAAAUUAUGCUAUGUGUCCCAGAUGUGAGACUGAAUCUGUUGUCUCUCAUGCAUCAGGAAGCGUUUUUAGUCUUUAAGUUUGGAGUUCUUUAAAUUUAUUUGCGAAGUUGACUUUUUCCUAAAGAUGAGAAAAAGGUUCUUGUAAGCAAAAUUAGCAGACCAGGCAUAUCAAAUGGUUGGUAUUCCCCUGCUAAUUUCUGGUCGCUCUAGUGUAGAUGGUACGGAGUCCAUUGUGUUUGUUUCUGGUUUAUCGUUCUUCUUUCUGCUGUUGGAGUAGUUGAAAUAAAGAUAUGAGAUUGGCUUUGAUUUAUUUAUUUUGAAUUAAUCAGGUGAUGGUGGAAGCAGAAGCAUAUGCAUCUUUUGUUGUGCCAGCAGAGGCUGAGCUUUGUGGUUCACUGCUGCAUGCUGGCACAUCUCUACAGAUUGAUGAUGAUGACAGCAGAUCAAAGGAUGAAAUUGAGCAGACGAAGAGCAUGGCUAAAGAAUCUGUUGCCGCUGAAACUUUAGAAAGUGGAGGAGAAAUUCAAGCAAGAACAGGUGUUGGAAUAGUACCAAGUAGCAUGGGAAGAGAAUCUAAAUCUCUGGUAGAACGAGAGAAAGAUUAUGAACAUUCUGGGAUGACUGGCAGCCCAAAUUCUCUUGAAAUGCCUUAUAAGAGGAAGAAUCAUGGAAAAGUCAGUAGCUUGCCACAUAGUUUGUCUGCAGAAGAGUCAUCUUUUCAUCUAGAACCAGAGAAGGAGAGCGAACCAAGUUAUUUUCAACCUAGAACAUCACACUUUAACAGCACACCUCCUCCCAUUUCCCCAGAUCCAAGUGAUGGAGGUAAAAGUCUUCAGAGAAGGGGUAGGUCAAAGAAGAAAGGGAACAUGGCUAAUCAUGAUAGUGAUCUUGAUGGUCACUUUCAGGGCUCUGAUGGUCACUUAAGAAUAGGAUCUUCCAGAACAAAACAUACUGAAGAAAACCCUGUGAGAUAUUCAAGGAGGAAGAAAUCCGCUGUUAAGAAUAAUAUGGAGAGAACUGCUGGUGUAAAGAAUGUAGUUAUUAAGACGGAAAAAGACUUCCAUAGUGAUUCAGAAGAACAACCACUUAUUUUAUAUAAGUUAAAGGAUGGAAGAAAAGGAGCAGAAGACAAAAAAGCUCUAAAAUCUGAGGUAUUAUGUUUGUUCAUCAAUAAGUCAAGUAGAGGAACUUUGUUUGUUUAAGUGAUGUUUGGAUGCAUUACUACCUAUGAUGAUUAAAACCUUCCAUAUAAGCAAAGUGGACAAAGCUUUUUCACCACCCAAAUAGGAAAGUAGGAUGUUCAAUUUGAUGGAGGGAGUAAAAAUUUGAUUUUCCAAGUAAAGGGAGAAGCAAUUCUUGUAGCUUCAGUCUAAAGCUUUCUACUAGAGAAUGUAGAUCAAUAGAAUCAUGCUUGGCCUCUGUUGAGAUCUUCGGCAAGCACUCCUGGUUUCUCUAAUGUGUCUCAGCAGUGAUUGCUAAAUCUUGUUUCUGUCUCAUAUGCCUUGUUCUAAUGCAUUUUUCCCCCCAUAUAAUCUGUGGUGGUUUUUGUAUCUUAUUUCUGAUGUUCCUGUAAAUAUUUCUUUAACCAAUUUAGGUAUCCAAGAAACCUAGAAUUGCCAAAGAGUAUGGUGAAGAAUUAGUUGGUUCAAGGAUAAAGGUCUGGUGGCCCAUGGACAGUCGGUAAGUAACUUAAAUUGUUGAUAAUUCUCUAGACUUUGUAUCCAUCCUCCAUAUAGACUUCUUAAUUCUUAAAUCUUAAUGUUACUGUCAUUUUGACUUUAGGCUAAGUUGUUCUGCUUCUUUGAAAUAGCUUAGAGUAAUGGGAGAAUCUUCUAAGCCGUGUUUGUUGAUCUGGAUGUUACUUGUUAGAUAUUUGAAGCUAUUUCGAUCUGGCUUUUUUUCCAUCCUCAGCAAAGCUUUAAUAUGAUUUUUUUGGGCUUCAUUUUGACAUGUCCUUCCACCUAAACUACAUCAACCCCAAUUCUCGAUGCUUUUUGGCUCAAUUUAAAGUCUCCCUGUUUUUAUUUUCUGUUGGACGACACCAUUUUAAGUCCUGCCUUAUCAGUUAAACACCAUCAGUGGAAACUAACUUAGCUGGAAAGUACAAAAUUCUCCAAAAAGGAUGUUUUGGCUUCAAAAGCAUAAUUUAUGAAGUUCGUUCAGCUAAGCUAGGGGUCCAUUUUACUACUAUUGCCUGCAAUCAGACAAGACCACGGGUUUCCAACAACUCUGCAUAAUCCCAAACUGAAAAACUAGGAACCUUAUUAACUGCCACAGUGAAAUCUUUUCAGAGUUCCAGCAAACCUUUCCUUGACCGAGCAUUUCUCUGUAUUUUUCCUCUCCACAGCUGGGCAAUUGCUGCCUGAAUCCUCUAAUCGUUUUAGUAAAAGGAAUUUGAUACCGGAUUAUGAGUAGUGCCCUUAAAAUUUCCGUUUGCUGCAUCAAGCCAAUACUUUCAUUCUUGAAUAAGCCUUUUCUGAUCUUGGAAUAUGUGAUGGAAUGACGUUGCCUUGUUGAUUUGUUCUGUUGAUAUACGAGUUUUACUGGUUGGGAGUUUUUCUGGCAACUUCGGUGUCAAUGGUGGUUUGGUAAAAAUCUUUGACUAUGCUGUAAUAUGUACAGCAUCUCGCGCGCGCGCACGUCUGUGCAUGUGUGUGUGUAUAUUUAGUAACUUUGUAUUUGAAUCAACUCGGGCAAUUUUCUGUUAUUUCCAUUUGUACGAAGCUGAUUGAUAGGAAUGCAUGCCAUUGUAAAAGAAUCUUCAGUCUGUUAGAUCUAAGCAUGACAAAGUGAGGUCAGUACUGAAGCUUUCCUGUUGGAUAAUGUACUUGAUUACCAUUAAAGCUUGGAAGUUUGAAGUUGAUUGAAAAGGGCAUAUAGUUUGAGUGUAGGCAGAUUAAAGAUGGAUCGGUAAUAGCUUUGUUGAUUUGAAUUAGCAGAAAAGGAAACAAAUUCGAACCUUCUCUGGAGAAAUCAACCUAUCGGUGAGUAAUACUUGGGUCUGAAUGAGAUUUUAUUUUUCCUCUAGGGAUAAGUAUGUCCUUUUGACUUUGAAAGUUGAUAUGUUCAACGAAUACAUGAUCAUGAAUGUAUUAUAUGUACAGACUCCUUGGUGGCAAGACACCUUGGUCCAGAUUUUGCCGAAUUGACAAUGAACUUAAUUUUAUGAUUAGCACAGGUAGUGUUAUUGUUGAAAUGGUAAACUGGUUCUUCCAUAAAUUCCAAAUGAAAAUUCUACCACUGGGAUUGAGAUAAUUCAUCAAACUUCACGUAUUACAUCGGCCAAACUUGAGCCAUUUAUGCCAUCUUCAGUGUUAGGAAAGAAAUGGAAUGACAUUUUAUCUUAUUCAUUUUCUUUUGUGCAGGUUUUAUGAAGGCGUUAUUGCUUCUUUUGAUCCUUCAAAGAAGAAACAUAAGGUGAUAAUUUUUGCAAAGAUGGCCUAUUUAUUUACUAUUGCUAUCAUCCAACUCUCCAAAUCCUCCUGCACCCUUGGUUUGCUUCAUCCUGUAUAUUAUACCUCCAUGUUGUGCUUUUAGGCUGUGAUCUUUAUCACAAACUUAUAAUAAGAGAAGAGCACUUGUAAACAUUCCCCUUUAUCCUUUAGGAAUAUGACCUUUUGUGGUAGAUCCAUUUGCUACUGUAUUUCUCCCUUUGAUACAUAAUAGUCUUAAUUACUUUAAUAUAUUUAAGUGGCUAUAUAAAAAUUUUUGCUCCAUAAUACAUUCCAAGGAGAGCUGCUGUAUCUCACUGGUUUAACAUUUUGUGGUGAUCAAGAAUGUGCUGAUAAAUGGUUGUUUGUCUUGUGAGCCAUCACAUGCUCAUUUGCUCUCACCUGUGUUUCAGGUUUUAUAUGUUGAUGGUGAUCAGGAGAUUUUGAAUCUGAAAAAAGAACGUUGGUUUCUGCUUGAUGACCAAGUCAGUUACCUGAUUUUAUGCUACUCUUCAUUGUACAUUUUUUAGUUUUCUGUCCCACCCCCAUUCCCCCCAACCCCCCCCCCCCCUCCUCAAAUGUUGAUGGGAUGUGAUAUUAUCAGGAGAAAAAGGGCAGCCUUACAAGUUCUGAUGCUGCUGCUGUUCGGUAAGCACUAUUUGAGAAGGCUGUGUGUAUUCCUUUAGAUCUUUAAAACUUCUUUCUGUUGAAAAUCUCUCUCUUUUAACUUAAUCCACAAGUUUUCUCAAGUAGUAAAUGAGGCACUUUUUGAGGUUGUACUCUGCCUUGCCCAUAUCUGGAUCUGCAUGAUAAGUUUUAUGCUCAUGUUCAACGUGAGAAAAGUUGAUGGUAGUCAUUUGCUCGUUCAUGUAGCCAUGACAUUGAUUGGGAACUUCUGUACAUGAAUUUCCUUUUGCUGGGUUGCUUGUUAUUGGUGCUAGAUGAUCGUCUUCUUGCUCAUUUUAAUGACUUAACUGGUUAGUGUUUUCUUAUGUCUAAUUGUUUCAAAUUGAAUAAUCAAUAAAAGUUGGCCGAAAACGAGGAAAAGGGAGCUAUUGUAAUCGAAACAACCCUAAUAUUAACUGUAAAAAAAAAAAAAAGACAAAAAUCCUACAAAACCAUGCUAUAUCAAACUCUUUUCUAUGGAAGACGUUUCAUGUAAUGCUUCAUAUCUUGGUCAUUAUUUUUGGUAUUUUAUGUUUGUUUACUGGACUCUUUAACUCUGCGACAUUGCUCUACUUUUGACUAUAAUAACAGGCAUUUCCUCUACUCUAACAUGGUGAUGUACUUUAAAUUAGAGCAGGCAUUGGGAGUAUAACCACUUAAUCCAAAUUAGAAUUGUAUGUUUCUUUUAUUUUGUCAAUGCUUUUAUUUCUUUUCUCAUCUGAGGUUAUUGUUUGCUUUGGCCGAUGAACAUCAUUGAUUCACAGAAGAAGAAAGCGAACACAAUAACAAGAUAAAACUAAGAUGAUUCUGUUUCUUCAGAUAAAAUGUGUCUAUUAAUUAUUGAGUUCUGGAAUUUUGUGAUGCAUUCACGGCAUUUUGAUAAUUUGUGUAUGAUUGCAAUGAAAUAAAUUGCCAAGGGUUUCAUAACAGCCUAGGAAUUUCUGCUUUUAGAUCCCGAACUCGAGGCCGAAAACGUGGUAGGAAGUCAGCAGCAAGAUCUGCUCUGGAUAUUCUUCACAUCAAAACCGAAAUCGAUGUUUUGGCAAAGGAUGAUGAAGAAUCAAAGGAUGAGGAGGAGAAUCUCAGAAGUGAAACUCUCACGGAUGCAAGUAAAUCUAGCAACUAGAAGCUUAGCUGCACAAUCUAAAAAAGCAUCUCAGCAAUAACUCAACUGAUAUGCAUGGCAAAUCGCUAUUAUCGCAUCUUGAGAGUGGCAGAUUAAACUGCUCAAAACAAUAUAUGAGAAUAUCAUAAAGCUAACAUCAUGGCACUCUUUGAAGAGCAGAUCUUCUGAAAUUUUGUGGAACUUGAUCUUGAUACAUGCUAUGCAGUCGAUUUCUGCAUUAUAUAUAACCUUGUGAAACUUGUGGGGAUAGUAGUUAGCUCUUAGGCAUAGACAGGGCAUGACUUGUUAUCUCAGCCAUAUGGAGCUCUGGCAUGACUUAUUAGCACAGCCUAUGUUGUAAUGUAUCUCUAGUUUAGGUACCUUUGCUCCUUGGAAUCGCUUUUGGUGCCAGCAUGCUGAUGCUGCAAAUACAUGCUUGGUGGAAGUAACAAGUGAAUAAGGCUACUAUAUAUAUAUUCUGGUGGUAUUCCUGUCUAAAUUGGAACAAGUUCUUGCUUUCAGAACAUUUCCAUGCGUAUAUUCUUUUUUUUUUUUUUUAACAUCUCUGUUUAGAAGUCAGAAAGAUCCAUGCAAUGACUUAAAUUCUUCCAUCCAGAUGAACUGGAAUAUCUUAAUUAAAACUGUGCUUUGCUGACUGAUGAGUGGUCAAAGAAAGAAAAUAUGUUUGUCUUUUGUGCUUUUAAAGUUUUGUGAGGGUUCAUUUGGAUUAGAUUGUGAAUGCAAGGGGUUUAUGGUUUUUUUUGGCACUAUGCAUAACAUAGUCGUUUACAUUUUGCCAUUUGUUCUUGACAAACAUACUAGCUUAAUUCUUUAAACAAUAUAAAAUACAACAGACUUAAAAAGCAAAAUGUCAAAUAAAAAUGGAAUUUUUAUGAAUUUUCUGUUGUUCUCUAGAAUUUUUUUUUUUUGGGAUCUCUCGCUUACAUCCCUUAUUUUUUUCUUGAUGUUGCUUGUCUAGUUUUGUGGUAGUAUAAAUUUGGGUACGAUUAAUUCUGAGUGUAAAAAGAACAAAAUAUUCAAAAUCCCUCCCACCCACCCCCCUUCCCCAAAAAAAAAAAAAAAAAAAAAAAUCCCUACUGGUUUUUUUUGCAUCGAAAUAUAUUUUUUUCACUUUUGGUGAUAUCAUACUCAACAUCCAUCCUAAAACUUUUAUCGUGGAAAAAAAAUUAAUACAGAAUGUGAUGUGAACAAUAUGAUGGCACAUUACACAUAUGCAUAUGAGAAAUUAUUUUCCCUGAAGUACAGUUACAAAGUCCAAAAGCAAAAUUUAGAGUUAGCAUAAUUAUACUUCUUCUGUCCUAUUGAAACUUAAAAUUGUCAGACUUUUCAUUUUUUGAUAUUUUAAAAUGUUUGUCAUGUUAAGAAAAUAAAAAAUUUAAAAUGUUUAUCAUGUUUUUGAGAUUUCCCUUUUUGUCUUUUCUUCUAAUAUAGUCUUUUUAUUUAAUCAUAUUCAUAUUAUCAUUUAAAUUUAAAUUUUAAAUUUGUUAGAAUAAAAUUUAAAAGAGAAAUACAAAUAUCACAAUCAAAAUAUUCUUAAAAAGUUGUAAUAUUGAAACAUGACAAACAAAUUGGGAUGGAGUAACUAAAUGAAAACAAACGUGAAUAAUUUUGGGAUAUUUUAAAAGCAUAAAAACGCAUGUUUAUUUACUACAUUUUUCUGAUCCUAUGAGAAAUAUUAAAUUUUAUUCCCUGGAAAUUUUAGCUAAAAGUCCAAAAUCGGAAGAAAAACAAAAUAGAAAAAUAAAUACAAAAGCCUACGUGAUUCUGCCUUCCAAAUUCUAGAGUAUAACGGAUAGACCAACUUGGCGCCAAGUCUCAAUUCUCGUCUCACACUUAGGCUAGCCUUUUCAUCUCUCUCGUUCGCUACAUCAGUGAUCAUAUUUCUUCGCUCAUCCAAGUUUUUCCUCAGGUGAAUACCAUAUCUCUAUAUUUCUCUGUGUAAUCUCCAGAUUGAGUUCAUUUCUUCCUUGAAUUCUAAGAGUUCAUGGUUUUGCGGUUGAUUAUCCUUUUUUUUGGGGCCAAAUGUCUAUGUGUUUCAUUUUGGUGAUCUUUUGAUUGCCGAACAAUGGUUUUGCGGAUGAUUAUCUUGGUUAAUGGGUUUAUUGUGAAUGAAAAUGCUUGCAACUUUGCAGAUGGUGACUUGUUUCAAAUUGGGAUUUCUGCAUUAUACAUGAAACGAAAUUGUAUGUUUGAAUACCAAUAAAAAGGCCAUGGAAUGAAAACAAAUAAAACAAUCAAACAGGGAACUAAAGAUAAGUUGAUUGAUCUUUUUAUACUGAUUGUUGAAAGACUUCUAUGAACUGAAGAUUUAUACAUUUUCUUUCUGGGUAAGUCUGAAGAUAUAUCUAUUGCUGCUAUUACAUGAUGAUUUGGGUGAAAAGCCACUGGUAUUUGUUGUAUGUUGUCAAAGAGUAUCAAGAACUAAUUAGUUACUUCUUGUUAUGUGUUUGUUGAGUAGUGAUGAAGAGGAAGAGAAACUCGAAUGCAGUUAGAACCCAAAAUGGGGAAAGAGAAGCAGAUGGAGAGAUUGAGAUAACGAGUACUUCCAUACUGGAUUUACCUGAUUUUAUCUUCACGAAUGUUGUGCUGUAGCUGCCAAUUAAGGCGAUCAUCAUGUGCAAGUGUGCUUGUAAACCUUAGCGCCGCAUCAUAUCAGAUCCCCAGAUGCAUUACUCUCGUGCACAGCCUUGUCCUCUGGUUUGGACUUUGGGUAACUCACGAGUUUCCAGAAUGCUUUACCUAAUUGACCAUCUGAGGUUAAUCUGAGCUACAAUUCAGAUUACUAUUCUCCUGAUGGGGUCAACUUGAAGCUGGAUACCAGGUUGAAGAUCCCGCUGCGUAAUGCUCAAAUGGUGCCUCAGAAUCCUAGUGAUGCCAACUUGAGUCUUAGCAGUAAGGGUGGCUCUAAGAAGCGUUGCAUGAAUGUGAGAACCAUUAAAGCGAGGACGAAAGAGCAGAAGUUUCAGAUUGUUAAUUCAUGCAAUGGGUUUCUUUGCUUGUCGGAUCCCUCAUGUAACAAUCCCUUGUGUGUAAUCCAGUAACAGGGGAGUAUUUAAACCUUCCAAAGAUAGAUGAAGUUGAUAACAGCCCGAAAGAUAUAGUAUCUUGUGGUUUGGCUUCAGUGAGGAGACUAACGAAUGUAAAGUUAUUAGAAUGUUUGGUCAAGGAAAUCUGGAUUUUUGUAGUUGCCCGAUUACUGGUAAAGAAAUCUUAGAUGAAAGAGUGGCUGAGGUACAUACACUUGGCUCAGGAUCUUGGAGACACAUUGGUCAUGCUCCACCUUAUAGCUGUGAACUAAAAUUUCCUUCUUAUCUAAAUGGAUCUCUUCAUUGGAUAUGUGUAGAUGACUGGAAGUUCGACUUCAUGUACUCUUUUGACCUUGGCCAAGAGCAAUUUAGAAGCAUUAAGCCAUCUUCUUUAAAGAAUGGCAUGAAGGGUUGGGAUAGUCUGCAUAAUAUGAGCAUGGGCGUCUUAAGAAGUAGCUUGUGUUUGUGUGUUGGCUCAGUCCAUGAUAAAAUCCACAUAUGGAUUAUGCGGAAAACCCAAAACUUGGAAAAAUUCAUUUCCAUUCAGUUGUCUUUUGAUGAUAGGUGGCCUGUUGGUGUGCAACAGCCCAUAAAUUUCUUGGAAAGUAAAGGGUUGUUGAUGUUUCGGAACCCUAAAAGUGCAUUCCUGUACUAACAUCAAAACUGAAUUUGAAGUAGUUGCUCAUACCCCAAGUUUCAUCUCGUUCAAGGAUGUAGUGAUGGGAGAUAAUGCUGAGAUACUGAAUAUCAAUUCCGGAUGAUGGUUUACUACAUCUUAUGGUGUUUAAAUAAAUUACUCUUUUUUGCUAUUCCUGCAUUUUGUCUGCUUCAUACUGUACUAGUUAUUAGGUAUUGAAAAUUCGUUAUGUCUGAUGAAACUGAGAAUGCUUUGACCUUUGCAAGCGAUAGACAUAUAAGUUCUACCUUAUAUUGCAUAUUUUUGGGUAAAAAAUUAAUUGUCACACACCAAGUCUUUUCUGCCAUGUUGAGAACUUAACUUCCUCUGUUACUUGCAUGAUGAGAUCAUGAAUACCACAGCAAACUCGUAUCUUCUGAUGAAUUGUGCUUACUUUGGUUACUGGCAUUCUCCAUUGCCAUCGAUUCACUGCCUUUCAUCUCCAUAUGAUCCUAAUUGUCGAGCUCAAACCUGCAUUGACAUGGAGAUGAAAGGAUCAUAUGGCAAAAGAGUUGCUGAAAUGCUGUCAGCUUUAUGGUCUGUGUUUGCUAAAUGUACUCCAAUUGAAUUAUUGCUGAGUGGGUUCAUUACUUUAAAGAGUUGUACCAAGAUAUACAGUAGUAAACAUGCUGGACUUUUCAUCCGUAAAAUGAACCUGGAUGCUAAUAUUCAGUGCAGUUAUGUGCAUUAACCAUAUCCAGUGGUAUCCAUCCACUGGCUAAAUUUCUUUUCGACAUUCUUUACAAAUUUUAGUACUUGCAGAAUCCAGUAGUGAUGCUUCAAAGGUUUGAUUUCUUUGAUAUGAUAUAGGUGCAAUGAGUCCAAGCUGCUGGGAGGAACCAAAGCUCUCUUCUUGGUAGAAGAACUCAGGGAUUUGGAGAUGGACACAGAUUCCUCUUAUUACAGCGACCAAGAAUGAUCUACUGCAGAUUAGCACACUUGGGAAAGCACUUGAAAUGUUUUGAGAACUUAGUGCCUGCAGUUGGAACUUGGAAGCUGUUUCCCCUUUGUUAUUGGCGAAUCUACAUGCUUUUGCUAAGUUAUAAUUUCAUGAUAACUAUUUUAAAACAAUGCCGAGCACCUCCUUUAGAUGUAUGACUGAUUUGAAGCUUGAUGUUUUAGUCAUCAGCAACCCAUGGAAAUGUUUACUCUCUUUCAAGUUACUCUGUCCACCUAUUAUGUAUGGUAGCAACAAUUAGACCUCUCUAAGAGAGGCUCUUAAAACACGCAUCCGAUUCUCGGGCACCUUAAGGGAAUCGGACACCUUAAGGAGUCCCUUAUCGAGUCUCAUUCUAAAAAUUUGACAUAUGUAACAAUUCAUGUGAUUUCUCUAAUUCAAUCCUGCCCCGAAACGUAUUUGGCUAUUCUUUUCGCUUGAAUAUUAUGAAAUCCAGUCAGUGCAUUAAUGAUCCAACCAAUGAGAAAUCAUAUCAAACAAAAAUCCAUAAACCCUAAAUCCAUAAUCAGAAUUAUUCUAAAUCCUCUUAGCAUCCGAUGUUUUCCGUCACUCUUUACACCUUUUUUUAUUUGAAUAUUUGUGGUUGAUUUGGAAUUCCAGAAAAUCACUAUCAAAUAUCUGUGAUUUACUUGACUUGGAAUUCUAAAAAAUUACUACUCCUUUUAUGAAAAAUAAAUUUGUUUGAAGAUGUUAAAUUUUUAGGAUGAGACCCAGUAGAAAGCUCCUUAAGGGAGCUGAGGAUCCGAAAUUAGUGCCAUUCUCAAAAGAUUAGUCCUACAGAAAUUUCAUGAAGUAUAGAAUACAUGAAAAGUUUCCUUUUCUCGUAAGUUGGAUUUGUUUUUGUUUCAAAACCCCUCUUUGCUUUCCGUAAUAGGUGGUUUCUUGCAAUUUUCCCAUCAACAUCAAUUUUCCAAGGGACAAUCUUUAACAUGCAUUUACCUUACAAAAAGUGCAAGUAUAUUGUGAGGUAUCAUGUGUUGGCAUAUUAUAAGAAUUUUUUCCGAAAGAAUAUGAGAAGUCCAAAAGAAAAAUCUAGAAUUGGAAAAAUUUUAAGAAUAAAAUCGAAUGUGAUUAAUUUUGAUUAUAGUUGAAAAUUACAAGGUAAAAUACAGGUUUAUAAACAUAAUUUUCUGAAUACCAUAUAUGAUCAACUCUAAAUUUUGUUUUCUGAAAAUGUAUCAAAAAGUUCAAAAAUGACAAAAGCAAGUACGUACAAAAUCCUAGCGACUCUGCUUUCUAUUUUCCCGCCAUUGAAGUAAACUGCAGGCCAAUUUGGCGCCAAGUCACAAUUCCGGAUACAUUUGGGCUUGCCCCUUCAUCUCUCUCUCUCUCUCUCCCAUUUUCAAACUUUUCUCUCAGGUACACAUUUCUCUAUCUGACUAUCAGUAAUCUCCAGAAAAAAUUAAUUUAUUUACUCCUUGCAAUCUAGGAGUUUGUGGAAAGUUUUUUUUGGCUAAAUGACUUUGAUCAAUGUAUAUGUAUGUUUUUCUUUUUUCUUUUGAUAUUGUGAUUGCAGAGCAAUAGUCUUGCAGAUGAUUAUCUUUAUUAAUGGGCUUCUUGUAAAUGAAAACUCUUGAAAUUUACAUCUGCGGACCGAUACUAACUUGUUUCGAAUUGGGAUUUCUGUAUUUUUGCAUGAAAUCAAGAAAUAUGUUUCGAAUACCAAUGAAGAAAAAAAGAGGAACUAAACAUAAUUUGUGGUCUUUUUAUAUGAUUUUUCCGACUUUACUUAUGAUUGUUCAGAUUUUAAAGGCUUCUAUAGAAUGAAGAUUUAUACAUUUCUCGUAUUGAAUGAUGAUGUGGCUAAAGUUUUUGCUCCUCAGAUGUCUGUUUCAUGUUGUCACACAAUAUCUUGAACUAAUUUGUUGCUGCCUGUUAAGUGUUGAUGUUGAUCGAUUUUUUGCUUUGGACUUUCUUGUAGAGUAAUGAUGAAGAGGAAGAGAAACUCAAAGGCAGUUGGAAGCCAACAUGUGGAAAGAGAUGCAGAUGAAGAGACUGAGACAAAGAGUACUUCUAUACUGGAUUUACCCGAUUUUAUCUUUAAAGAUGUUGUGCUGCGACUCCCACUCAAGGCAAUCAUCAUGUGCAAGUGUGUUUGUAAACCUUGGCGCCGUAUCAUAUCAGAUCCUCAGUUUGCUAAGAUGCAUUUUGCCAGUGCACAGCCUUGUCCUCUGGUUAGGACUUUGGGUAACUCAAGAGUUUCAAGAAUGCUUUACCUAAUUGAACCGUCCGAGAUUAAUGUGAGCUACAAUUCAGAUAACUAUUCUCCUGAUGGGGUUAAUUUGAAGCUAGAGACCAAGUUGAAGAUCCCGCUGCGCAAUGCUGAAAUGGUGCCUCAGAAUCCUAGUGGUGCCAAAUUGAGUCUUUGCAGUAAGGGUGGCUCUAAGAAGCGUUGCAUGAAUGUGAGAACCAUAAAAGUGAGGACGAAAGAGCAGAAGUUCCAAAUUGUCAAUUCAUGCAAUGGAAUUCUUUGCUUGUCAGAUCCCUCAUAUAACAAUCCUCUUGCCAUAUGUAACCCAGUAACAGGCGAGUAUUUAAACCUUCCAGCGAUAGAUGAAGUUGAUAACAGCUUGAAUGAUAUAGUAUCUUGUGGAUUUGGCUUCAGUGAGAAGACUAACGAAUAUAAAGUUAUUAGAUUGUUUGAUCAAGGACGUCCGGAGCUUAUUAGUUGCCCAAUUACAGGUAAAGAAGUUUUUGGUAAAAGAGUGGCUGAGGUACACACAGUUGGCUCAGGAUCUUGGAGACGCAUUGGUCAUGCUCCAUCUUAUGGUUGUGAACUGAGAUUUACUACCUGUCUGAAAGGAUCUCUUCAUUGGAUCCGUAAAGAUGACAGGAAAUUGGAUUUCAUAUACUCUUUUGAUCUCAGCCAAGAGCAAUUUAAAGCAAUUCAGCCACCUCCAUUAGAGCACCGGAUGAAGGAUUGGGAUAAUCUGCGUAAUCUGAGCCUGGGAGUGUUAAAUAAUAGCUUGUGUUUGUGUGUCGGCCCAGUCUUUGAUGACAUCGACAUAUGGGUUAUGCAGAAACAUGGUGAACCCAAAAGUUGGACAAAGUUCAUUUCAAUUAACUUGUCUGUUUAUGAUAGAUGGCCAGUCGGUGUCUACCACCCCAUAAAUUUCCUAGAAAGUAAAGGGCUGUUGAUGUUUCAGUGUCCUAAAAGUGCAUUCAUGUAUUAUGAACCUCAAUUUGAUCAAUGGAAGUACUUCAGAAUUCAAGACAUCAAAAUGAAAUUUGAAGCAGUUGCUCAUACUCCAAGUCUCAUCUUGCUCAAGGAUGUUGUGACUGGUGACAAUGCUGAGAUACUGAAUGUCAAUUCAAGGUGAUGUUUUACUGAGUCUUGAUUUGUCUUAAUUAAACUAUUGCUUUUGAUAUGUUAUUCUUUGUCUCUCCUUUAGGGUACUAGUUGAUGUUGCAUUGGAUCUUAGUCUUGUUCAAUUAAGCUGAGGAUUUAUUUUCCUUUGCAAGGGGUAGACUAAACAAUUACACCCGAUAUUAUAGACCUCUGGGGAAAAAUCUGAUCAUCACAGAUUUAGUUUGUGCAACCAGUUAGGAGCACAUGUAAAUUCCUAUGCUGUUUUGCAUGAAAACAUCACUACUAAAACUCUGCAUCUUCAAAUGAACCAUACUGACAUUUGUUGCUGACGUUCUCUAUAGCUCAAAAUCCAUUAUAUCCGAUAUUAUCAUGCUCAAAAUUGCAUAUCUCUUGUAUGAAUGAGCAAAUGAGAUGACUUGCACUUAUGCGUGUAUAUGCUUAUAAGGCAUUAUUUUUCAUACAUUUUUUACUCAUGUUUUAAAUUGAAGACUUGUAAUUGUGGGUCUAUUUUCUUGAGUUUUAUGUUGAUGCAACACCUGCUCGUGCUUUUCUAGUUGUUGAUUGAGCAUGAUGGUCUCAAAUGAAAUUAAGUGCUAUGCCUGGAUAGAUAGUUUAAUAUAUACUAUUAUAACAGUGUUCAAAGAGGUUUUAUGACUUCAGAAGCUGCAUUUCCUUGUCUAUUAUUUUGUAGUGUCUUUUUUAGAGUUCGCUGUUUUAGCUGUUAAGGACUAAGGACUUGUACAUUUCGUGGGAUCCUCGUGUAUGGCGCUUGCUUGAUGCCAUCAAUCUACUCCGUGUGAUAGAACUUAGUAACUAGGAUUAUAAGUAAUCUUAUCGGCCUGUUGAUCCUGCCAAGUGGUUCAUUUUCCAAAUAGUUUUGCUUUCAUUAAUUUUGAUAUUGUUGUGCAGUAGAAAUGUUUAACUAGAUUUUUUAAUGUGCAAUCAAUCAUUUAGUAUACAAUGACGUAAGGAAAUAAGACUACUAGUUUUGCAGUCCCAAAAUGCUGUCAUUCUUAUGGUAUGUGCUCUGUUUUUUGGUUUACGACUUUCCAUAAGUUUUUUUUAUCAAGUUGUACAGUAUUAGAUACUGUUUGUACACACAUACUGAUUGGCUGCUGUUAGUUUCGGCAAUUAUUAUUUCGUAAUACCCAUAAGGAAUAAUACACAGGUAAGACAACCUUAGCAAUUGGAGAUGGAGCAAAUGAUGUUGGUAUGAUUCAAGAAGCUGAUAUUGGAGUCGGAAUCAGUGGCAUGGAAGGAAUGCAGGUAAAUAUUUGGCUGGCUUCUUUUUUUUUCAUUACUAUUAAUUUCGCGAAUAAGGUUUGAUAAAUUGAAUCCAAGCAUACACAGCAAUUAACUGAGGGAUUCCACAUUGAAAAACAGCAUUUUAUCUACAAGAAUGGAUGACAGCUACUUGCUACUUGUUUAUCAAUUACUAACUAAUAUGGAAUGAGUUUCUGAAACCUUGUGUCAAUGCAACAUGCAGGCGGUCAUGGCAAGUGACUUUUCUUUGCCUCAGUUCUAUUUCUUGGAACGUUUACUAAUAGUUCAUGGGCAUUGGUGUUACAAGAGAAUCUCCAAGAUGGUAAUACUCCAUCCUAUCUUGUGUUGCGUGUAUGCAAGUGCCCAGAAAAGAAAGAUAAUCGACUUUAUUAAGGUUCACUGACACAAAUUUUGUUCUGCUGCAGAUUCUCUACUUCAUGUACAAAAAUGUUGCAUUUGGCUUGACAUUAUUCUACAAUGAAAUUUACAGCAAUUUCUCCGGUGAUGAUCUGUAUGACGAUUGGUAUAUGGUCCUAUUCAAUGUUCUGUUGACAUCUUUGCCUGUGAUUGCACUAGGUGUUCUAGAGCAGGAUGUUUCAGCUGAUGUCUGUCUGCAGGUGAGAAGAAACAAGUUCUACGAUUUCAUAACACUAGCCUUCAUUGUUUGAAACCUCAGAUAAACAUGCAAUUCUCACGCGUCCCCAUCCCUACUGUCCCCUGAAAAAGCUAAUCUUCUUGCAAGAUUUUAACUUGAUUAACCAUUUUACCGUCACUGGAAUAGUUUCCAGCACUUUAUCAACAGGGACAAAGAAACAUAUGUUUCAGCUGGAAACGUAUCUUUGGCUGGAUAUUGAAUGCCACUCUUUCUUCUGUAGCUAUCUUCACAGUCACCAUAUACAUAUUUUCUCCAGCUGCACUCAGACAAGAUGGAAAGGUGGCAGAUCUAGCACACAUCGGUACCAUCAUGUAUACAUGUGUAAUCUGGACAGUAAACUGCCAGAUUGCACUCAUAGUCACACACUUCACUUGGAUUACCCAUGUUCUGAUCUGGGGAAGCAUCUUGUGCUGGUAUAUCUUCUUAGUCUUGUAUGGUAUGCUUCCUCCUGAGCAUUCUCAAGGUGGUUUUCACAUCCUUAUUGAGGCCAUUGGGACUGCACCAAUGUAUUGGAUUGUAACAUUUCUUGUAGUAGUUGUUACACUCCUUCCAUACUUCAUUUUCAGUAUAAUCCAAAGAUCAUUCUACCCCAUGGAUGAUCAAGUGAUCCAAGAGAUCAAGUACGGUAGAACGGAUGUAAGCAACAAACCAAUGUGGUUGAGGGAGCAGCAGAACUCCAGGAAGAGGACUCAAAUUGGAUUUUCUGCAAGAGUUGAUGCAAAAAUUCGUCACUUGAAGGAAAGAUUGCGCCGAACGAAAAAAUGAAUAUACGAAUUUGUCACAAAUAGCUAGUUUAACAAUCAGCUGGAACCAGUCAAGUGACUAAAUGAUUAUUAAGUGUAUAACUUCCUCAUUAUCAUCGAAGUAUAUUGUAAUUAUUUAGCAAGUUAGAAAAUAAAGCAUGGCUAGCAGCUUUAGCAAGGCUUAGAGUUAUGCAGGUGAAGUCCCUAAUCUGCAUUUCUUGCGAACUUAACUUGUCUUGGCUGUGAUUUCUGGUUCUUUUUGGAAGGAAAUUAAACCGAACUGUAUUACCUAAUCUUUUAGUCUAUUGUUUGGUGUGUUGUUUGUCUAGUUUCCAUAUUAGAUUAGGGAAUCUCAAUCAGUUUCCAGUUAGGUUUUGAUUUACAUUUGUAUUUGUUUUAGGAAGUUUUAGAGUUUAUAAAUAUUACUAGUUUAGUAGGUUAUUAAUUAAAGAGUAGAGUUAGGUUGAAUUGAGUCUUUAAAGAUAGAUUUGAGAGAGUCUCAUAAUUGAAUUUGUAAGUUGUCAUUAGUGAAAGGCUAUGACUUGAUAUUUGUUUUUGUUGAGUUUUGAAUUAAAUAAAUUAUUGACUAUUUGUUCUCCUUCUCUUCCCACAUAUUUUUAUAUGUGUCAAAAUUGCUUCCGCUAUACACGUGAUUUUUUGUGCCAACAAGUGGUAUCAGAGUUCUAGAUUCAAGAGUUUGAUUUUGGGUGUCUUUGGUGGUUGGAAAGGUGCAAAAUUUUUUGAUAGAGAAACCUAUACCAUAAAAAGGUAUAAAGGUUGUUAUACGUAUAUUAAAAAAUUGAAUCACAAGAGUUGGUUUUGAAGUACUAGUUCAUUGAUUGGAAUUAGAAAAAAGACCCUAAUUGGACAAAGGUCUAAAAAGAAGGAUUCUGUCAUGAUUAUUGAUGUUAUGCAGUGAUCAAAACAAAAAAGAUCGUGUCAGAUUGUUGAUUGUCAGUUUGUCACAAUAAAAUUUGAUCAAAUCUGAAGCCAGGGAAGUCAAGAAAUUCAAGAAGGGAAGAAAAAAAAUAUUUGUCAAGAUAAGUAAAUUAUUUUGAGUUGUCAUGGAUAGAGAAUUUGUAAGUGAUGAAAAAUUUAAAGUUUUACGCACAUUUAGUGGUGAUAAAGAAAAAUCUGAAUGGUCAAGAAUAAUGCACAAAUAUCUUAAAAAGUGUGGUUUGGGUGAAUUUCUUAAGAUCAAUCAAAAGAAAUUAAGAGAAGGAAGGUCAGAUUAUUUUUCAAAAUAAUGCGAAAAUCAAUGGUUGAAAAGUAUUAUAAAAGGCUUAUCAUCUCUAAUCAAUUGGCUUAGUGGUUUUGGUUAGAUCUCUUUUAUAUUUUGAUGAUAGAAUUUUCAUAUGAAUAUAAUUCUAAGUCAAAAAUUGGUUUGGAACGCAAAGUUAAUUUAAAGAUGAUGUGUUUGUUGAUGAUAAAGAGACUUUUGAAAUUUUUGUUAUGGUUGAAAAUUAUAAUUUGCAUAUUUUGUUUGGGAUGAUUGAUGAAGAAGAAAUUUGUGAUGGAAAAAGAAGAAAAAGAAGUUUUUGAUGAGGCAAAUAAAGAAGAAAUUGUGGGUGCACAUGAAAAUAAAGAAUUUGUGACUCAAGAAAAAAUUUUACAAGUUAGUUGAGAAAGAAAGUGAAAUCAUUGGUCAAAGUAAAGAGGUGAUUAAAGAUCGUGACAAUGUAGAAAUUGUUAAUUUUGUUGAGAUUGAUAAAUUUUUUGAAGAGAAAAAUCAUGUGAUGGAAUUGGUUGAUAUCAAUUAUGAAGUGGAUGAUUUAGUUGAAAAUUGUGACACUAUCAAGGUUGAUGCAGUUGUCAAUGUGAAUCAAUCAACACAAAAAUAUGGUGAGGUUAAAAAUCUUGGUGAAAAAAAUUAUGAUUUUUUUGGUUUUGGGAGAUUUUAUUAGUGACAUGGAUGAAUUGAAUUAUGGAGUAUUAGAUGAAGAAUAGGUGGAUAUGUUUGAAUUUUUUGACAAGAGUGAUCAAUCGAAGAAAUUACUCAAGAAGUAUAAGAUUCAUCCACUACUACGUGUAAAAAUGAAAUUGAAAACCAAUCAUAAGUUGAGAUUGAAUGUUGUGUCUAUCGCAAUCGAGUUUUUCAUGGAGAGUCAAACUCGUGAUAGCAUUGGAGAUGACAAUGAAGAGUUUGGUUUAAGAGAGACAAUGAAAGAAAUUAAACCAAACUGUAUUUAGUUUUGCAAUCCAUUUAGUUAAUUGUUUUGGUGUGUUGUUUGUCUAGUUUUCAUAUUAAAUUAGGAAAUUUCAAAUCAGUUUUCAAGUAAGUUUUGGUUUACAAUUAUAUUUGUUUUAUGAAAUUUUAGAAUCUAUAAAUACUACCAGUCUAGUAGGUUAUUAAUUGAAGAGUUGACUUGAGUCUUGAAAGAUAGAUUUGAGAAAAAGUCUCAUAAUUGAGAUUUGUGAGUUGUUGUGGGCUAAAGGUUAUUGAUAUUUAUAAUUGAGACUUGAUAUUUGUUAUUGUUGAGUUUUGAAUUAAAUAAAUUAUUGAGUAUUUGUUCUCCUCCUUUUCCAAUAUAUUUUUAUAUGUGAUAAAAUUGCUUUCGCUAUGCACGUGAUUUUUGUGUGCCAACAUUUUUUAACUUCAUUAAAAUGUAUAUCCAAACAUAAUUUGUUAAUGAAGGAAAAGCAAGGAAAGAAAGUAGGAUCAAUGGUAAUUUUAUCUUACCCGUUUUGUUUUCAUGGGCAAAGAACAUGGCAAAAAGUUACAAAGUUUGAGAUGGAUUUAAACAUGGGAUAAUUUCAGAAACUUCUCCUCAGGUUUCUGAAAGGUUUUUGACUAUUUUCACUGAUCUCCCUCCAAAUUUUAAAAAUUACAUUAAUCUUCCUUGAGGUUUACUAUCUUAUAAUAGGGAUAAUUUCAGAAACCUCCCUUGAGGUUUCUAACAAUUUCACUGAGGUCCCUUAAAAUUUGAAAAAUUACACUUACCUCCCUUGAUUUGAUAGUUUUAGUAACAAAACCUUAAAAUAAUAUUGACUUGGUCAAAUUUUAAGUGAAUACCCAAAAAUGCCCUGUGUAAUGAGUUUUAAUUUACUUUUUCAUACAAUUAUAAGAUUAUCUUGUAUAAUUAUAAGGAAAAGAUACCAAAAUUUUCAUGUUCAUAACUUCUAUUUGAUAAACAACUAUAAUAAUAGUAAUAAUAAUAAUUUUAUCACUAUGAUAUGAUACUUUUGAUGGUAUUUUAUUAUGGAUUUAGAUUUAUAAGAUAGAAAAGAAAAUGAUUCAUUUAGAAUUUAUAAAUUUUUUGAGCAGUGAGAUUAUCAUAAUUUAGUACUGAUUUUGGGUUAUUUCUUUUUGAUGUGUUAUUAAUUUUAAUGCCAAAAAAUAGAAAACAAAGAUCAACAAAAACAUUGGAUUGCAUAGAAAGUUAACUGAUAAAAAAUUUACUAGUUUGACAUUUGGUUACAAUAGAAACUAGAAGUAAUAGUAGUGUUAAUUCUAUAGUUUUAUUGGAAAAAAUUUUUUAAAAAUGAAUAAGAAUGAAAGAAUGAAAAAAUAAUUUUUAAAAGUCAUUGUAAAUAUAAGCAUACCAAACAAGGGAAUUUCAUUAAAAUAUUUAAGGGUAGUAUUGUCAUUUUAAAUGACGAGUGAGGUAUGUAUAAUUUUUAAAACCUCGAGGAGCUAAAUGAAAUUGUAAAAAACCUCAACGGAGGUUUCUGAAAUUAUCCCCUUAGAAUAUUUAGGUCCAAUCAACAAUUAAAAAGUGAUAUUAGAACAGAGAAGAUAAUAUGAUUUCCCAUUAUCGCUCAUUUACUAAAUUGUUUGAUUAAUCUAAUAUUUGCCCAAAUACUAAAGAAAAUAUUAGAAUUUGUUGUUAUCAUCAGUAAUUAAAUCACAUAUAGUAUCAAAAAUAGUGCAUCAUUUUAUAUAUUUUACUUAUUGUAAGAUCUCAAUUGCACAUUUCAGUUAUAAAUCCAUUAUCAUACAUGAUUAACAACAAAUAAUGAAAAAAAAAAUUUGUAACCAAAAUAUUAUAAAGUGCAAGUUUUAAUACCAUAAAAAUAUCAGCAACUAACUUUAAUAUGUUGACAAGAAUAUUUAUGAUGUUAAAGUUUGUUCUCUAUAAUAUUUUAGUUGCAAAUUUUUUAUUAUUUAUUAUUGAUCAUAUUUAACAAUUGGUAUGUAAUUAAAAAGAGUAAUUUGGAUCUUAUAUUAAGUGAAAAAUAUAAAAUGAUAUACUAUUUUUUGAUGUUAUAUGUGAUUUGAUCCUUAAUGAUAAACAUCAAAUUUUAGUAUUUCUCUUUAAUGUGUGGGUUGGUAUUAAAUUAAUUAAAUGAUGUAGUAGAUGAGGGGCAAGAAUAGAAUCAUAUUAUUUUCGCUAUUUUAAUAUCACUUUUUAAUUAUUGAUUGGUGCUAAAUGUUACAAUAUAAUUAAUCUCAAUGAAUGUUAUUGUAAUUUUUGAAACUCAGAGGUUUCUGAAAUUAUUCCUAAAAACCUCGGGGAGGUUUCUGAAAUUAUCCCUAAAAACAAACAUUACAGAGGAAAUUACAAAUUGCACCAAACUUUGAGGGCCUCAAAGUACUUAACGCCAUUUCUGAAGUAAUCUGUCUUCUCUGCUCAUUAAUUUGCAGGUGUUCUCCGACUCCAUCGGUCUCUCUCUAAUACACGUCACUAACUAUUUUCAGCGAGAGGUUAAAAAUGGUAAUUAAUUGUAGUUAAAUUAAGCAAUCCAAAAUUAGAGCCGGAUUCUAUUUCUAUGGAAUGUUAGAUAGAAUAGGGAAAGAAUUGCCGUGCAAACUUGAGAGUGCCAUUUAUCACCUGAGGAUUAAAGGGUUCCACUGCAAACUAGAAAGUUAGUAAAAUUUUGAUCACCUGAAGAUUAAAAGAUCAUUGAUUUUAUUUCAAGAUUUUUUGACCCUUUUCAGUUUAUUCAUUUUUCUGAUCAGUUUUUACUUGUGUUUUGCAGCCCAGCUGAAUAUUGAAAGAUGUCCGUCAAUGCAGAUACAGAUUCACCAGGUAAUCUCUACUAAAUGCAAGAUUGAUUGUAUUCUUGAUUCAGUUUCUUUAGAACUUUUAACAGGGAAGUUAUAAACCAAGUGAAAUGGUAUAACUUGUACGUUUAAGGUAUUUUGUUAUCUUAAAAUGUACCGCAUUAGGCUUAAAUCUUGCUUCAGGUGACACAUGUAUCUAAUUUUAAUUGUCUACGGAACAUAGCUGUUAAGAGUUAAAGAUGCUAGAAGUAUUUCUUUUCCGUGCUAAAUAUGCUAGGAAGCCAGUUCAUGUUGUUCCGCAGACAAAAGUUUGAAAAGAGGAAAUGCUGUUUUUAAAGUUGAAACCAGACCUAAGUUUCGGAGGAGAUCUAAGAUGUCCAGGCCCAUAGCAGGAUAUAAGUGAUAAGCCUGCCUUUUAAGUAUGCAACAGAGGCCGUAUCUUAUAAUCUUACUGUAAUGAUGCUGACUUGAAUAAUUUGCAACAUAUCAGAAAGAAAUGAAGAAUAAUCUAAUUCCAGAAGCCUAGGUGCAGAGUUUCUUUUUUUUUUUUUUUGGGUUGUCUCAAAUGUGGUUAUAAUGCCUCAAGCUACAGUAAGAAGAUUUAGUGAUGCAGAUGUUACUGCUCUAGCUGUUUGGAAGUAUGUAACUAGCUUUUCUUGUCAGCUGUAUCAAGCUUUUGUCUGGAUUAGAUGUAUAGGAUUUCAGAGUGUUGCAUUGUUUUCCUUUUAUUUUCUGUGGGAAGAGAGACUUGGAGAAAAGUUUUAUAUCUAAGCCUGUAAUUAUUCUCCCUGCAGAAUAUUGAAACAUCAGACUGGCAAUUUUAAACAUCAGAUGAAGGGUGCAGCUACUACAUUCCGUAAUGAACAUGAUCCAUUUGAUUUUAUAAGAUUUUUAUAUGGUAGGUUUAUGCUUUCUAUGUUAUUCUUGAAUAUCAUUGUUGGGUCAAAAGAAAUGUUAACAUAGCAUGGUUAACAUAAGUUUUGUACCGAUGAGCUUUACAUCUACAGACAAAAAUUGCUAGACCUUGUGCAUUAUGUUGCAAAGACAUAUUACUACAAAAUCUGUUGCUAUUUUCAUUUAUUAAUAGCAAGUAGCUACAUGCUUUGUAUGUCCAUAUAGUUUUUCAAUUCUUUAAUUUUGUGGAUUGGAAUUCUUUUCUUUAGUUUUGGGAAGCAAGUUUUCGGUGGGAAUAUAAAGGACAACUCAACAAUGGAAAGCUUGAAAUGAGAUUUGACAAUAAUAUUAUAUAGCAUAAAAGUGGCUUUUAAUUGGUCUGGAUUAUGAUUUUUGUGGGUUUAUCAGCCCUAUCUGUCUCCAUGUAACCAGAUAAUUGUCUAAUGGAUGGUGUAAGUCCUUUUUUUUGGGGGGGGUAAAAUAGUGCAUGCAUUAGUCUCACAAUCCAAGCCGCAGGGAAUGGUUGUUUUAGAUUACAUAUACUGAAAUGUCUUGUAUAUUGGUUUGUGAACAACAAAACGACCUCUAAACAAAAGUAUGUUGAAGUGAGUGCAUGAAAUUUGAAAGUAGUGUAGUCUGACUGAAGCUUAUAGAUGAGAUGGCUGUGUGGAAAUGUCUAAAAUUGGGGUUCUUGCUUUGAAUAAUUGAAUUACUACCACAUGUUUUAACUUUAGGUCGAUGCUAAAGCAUUAACAAAGUUCAGGAACUUGACAAAUGAACUUUUAGUUCUGCUUGCAUUGCUUGGCAUCAUACUAAAAUAUUGGUAACUGACAGUCCUAUCAUAUAGCACUACAAUUUAUCUGUAUAAAUGACUGGCAUGUUCUAGAUAGAAAUGUGUUACCCUUUCAUUGGAAAAGUUGUUUUAUAUAUAUUGGUAGUUUUGUCCAAUCUACAACCCUUUGCAGUAUUCCAUUGUAUGGUUUUGCAGAGGGUGCUGUAGCUGGAGCCACAGCUGGUGUUGUCGUUGAAUCUGUUCUGUACCCAAUUGACACCAUCAAAACAAGACUUCAAGCAGGUUUAUUUUGUUAACACAUUUUGUUGUAGUCUUGUAGAUUAAAAAGUAGCUGAUUAAAAAGAUCAGAUGACAGUUCCACCUGUUGUUUGGUGAAGCUUUACAUUGACGUAUUUCUUCUUGUGAACUGAGGUGAUCUGUUUUGCUUUUCAUUGUUUUAUGGUAGGCAGUUCAUGGUGGAGGAAAGAUCAUAUUAAGGGGUCUUUACUCCGGAUUGGCUGGAAAUCUUGUUGGGGUCUUACCGUAAGUACUUAUAACUGCAACUGCUGUUUUUCUUGUGCUCUACGAGAAACAGAUAGAUGAUAAUGUCAUACAAUGCAGUCUAAAGUUGAUUUGAGCAACCUUGAUUAUGUAGAUUGGGUAUAGAGGCUGCAAUUAUAUUGAAGAUAACUUCUUCCUGUAGAUAUGGCCAUAAUUUGAUUUACUAGUUUUCUAUGUGUUCUGGGAGAAGUGAUGGGACAUUUAUAUUCUUUUCCUAAGAGAUAUAUUAUGACCUACACCUAUUGUAGCUGGAGAGAGACAAAGAGCCCAAACCAGUGGCAGCAUGUUCUUAAUCAGAGAGUCUUCAACUUGGCCUUUAAACAAGAAAAACUUCUUUGUUGUGAUCCAUUAAAUAGUUGUCUUAAUUGACUGGAUCACUUCAAGAAUUGGCGCCACUUAGAAAUUAGAUAGUCAUGGCUUUAUGCACAGCAGGACAUUAAGGGCGCAUCUUAAGUGUUUCUUGUGGUACUUCUACAUGAGCUUCUCCGGGAAUGUAUUUUUGAAUACAAUUGCUUAUCAUGAGACUAAGUCAGAUAAUAGGAAACCCAUUUGCAGAGUGAUGUAGAUGGUUUCUUCUGGAAUCUCUUGAGUCUUUUUAAGAUAACAAGAAGCUUAUACAUAAGGGAAACUAGUGAAGCUUGUAAGGUUAAUGGGUAAGCUUAAGGUAUCAUGCGGCUGGAUGUGUUUAUGUGUAAUCAUUUAAGCAGUCUGCCUCUUUGAAUACUGUGAAGCUCUUAUGACAUGCAUUAAAAACUGUUCACCUGGUUUGGUAUGAUAAGACAUACUAAAUUUUGAAAAUAAUGUAUGUGCUUCGUUACUCUCCAUGAUUUACAUGUUUGGAGGAAGCAAAAUUAAUAUGUUAUUUUUGUUGUCUUUAAUUUUUGAGUCUGUGUUUUCUCCUUCUUUAGCUGCCUUUGCAAGUAAUAUGUGACCACAGAGGCAUGAGAAAGUGGUAAAUCGAGCCACAGGUUCCUUGGAAGGAGUCUAGAAGGAAGAAAUAUAUAAAGUGGUUCUUAAUGAUAAUUAAGAAACAUUGCCUAUGGUAGUCUGAAAAUGGUUAACUGUGGUGCUUUCUGUUUAAUAUAGCCAAAUUGAAUUCUUGAAUCCUGACAUGGGAAUCACUAACAUUAGUUGCACAAAAAAUUUAAUAACUUGUUUAUCUAUUUAUGGUGGCAUUAUCUGCAUCUGCAAGGAACCUGCAUAAUUUCUGAUACCUGUGUUGUACUUUUACUUCUUGCAUGAAGAAAUUUGUUGAAGCUUUUUGGAGUUAUAGUCUUUAUGGGAAUAACUUUAACUGCUUUUCAUUGUUCUUAGCGAGAGUGCAGGACAAGUCUUGACAAAUUUUCUAACAUUUUGCAGGGCAUCGCAAUAUUUGUUGGUGUAUAUGAACCCACAAAGCAAAUGCUUUUGAAGAGCUUCCCUGAAAGUCUCAGCGCCUUGGCUUAUUUGGUUAGUUUUGAAACUAUACAAUAUAAAAGUGCCAUCUCUUUAAUGGCGUAUUACAGUUGCUGCUUCUUUCUAAAUUGAUUUAACUGCAAAUUGUUACAUUGAUACAACAAUGAAGAAAUUAAGGAGUUAUCUUCCAGUAGCAGAUUCUACUCUUUGAUUUAAAUGCCUCCUGUAGUUCCUAUUGGGAUGGCUAAUUUGUAAUUCGAACUAAUCAUCUUCAAGAUCAUAAUUAACUCCUGUCUCUUUACUUUUCUGCUAACUCCAUUUUUUUUUCCUGAUCCAGGAAAUCUAAUUAUAUCUGCUCAAACUUUUUCAUUAUUGUUUAAAUACCUUUUCAUUUGGGGCAAAACUAAGUGUAGAUAGCUGAUAGGAGUUGUCUAAUAGCUUUAAUUGUAUUUCUAUAGUGAUGAAAUGAGCUAAAUCAAAACUUUCCUAUGUCUUAUUGACUGAGACAAAAAAGAAAUAAUUGUCUUCCAUGUUUUAAUUUGCAAUGUUUAAAGAUUUUGAAUGCUUUUUCAGACAGCAGGUGCUGUGGGUGGGGUGGCAUCUUCUAUUGUUCGUGUUCCAACUGAGGUAUUCAAAGUUGGUUAUUCUGUUUUAUUUAUGGGUGUUGUAUGAAAUCCUUAUCUUUUAUAACUACUUAGGUUGUUAAGCAAAGGAUGCAGACUGGACAAUUUUCAUCUGCCCCCAAUGCUGUGCACUGUAUUGUAGCAAAGGAGGGCUUUAGAGGCCUCUAUGCUGUACGCCAUGCUCUUAUCUUUCAGGGUCUAAAUCUUUGUUUAAGGUGCUAUAGGUUUUCCAUCUUUUGAAAGUCUUUUACUGCACGUUUGCCUUCACCUUUAUCUUUACUAUUGCAGGGAUUUGGAUCCUUUCUGUUGCGAGACUUGCCUUUUGAUGCUGUACAGUUCUGUAUCUAUGAGCAGCUUAGAAUAGGUUAUAAAUUAGCGGUAAGAGAUCCAAAUAAUUAUUCUUUCAUUUACUAAAGAGGCCUAAUAUUUUCCCGUGGAAAUGAGAUUUUAUUUCCUACUUUGAUGUAGCAGGCUUAGAAGCAUCUCACAAAGUUAUAAAAUAGCCAAACUAGUCAACCUCUAACAAGAUAAACUGAGCACAUUCCCAUAUCUUUUGAAAAAAUGAACACUAUUGUUGUUCAACUGUGCCACCUGAUAUUUCCAUCUUCUUUUUUUGGUAAUUGGUUGAUCUCUGGAAAGAUGGCUUGUGUAGUGUCACUUGAGUAGAAAUCUAUGGCUUAUUUUGAUAAUGGAUCAUUAACAAGGACUAAAUUUGUCAUGACCAUAUAAAAGAUUUAUUGCCUUUGUUCUACAGCUUCUCAGCAUCCACUCUACUUUUGAAGUAUGGUUAUUUAUUGUUUUGCUAACUUUUUUGCAGGCUAGAAGGGAUCUGAAUGAUCCUGAAACUGCAAUGAUUGGUGCUUUUGCUGGUAACUACAAUCUUGUAGGAUUUUGUUUUUGAAAUGCAUAAGGGUUUCAUCAAUUAAUAUUUUCUAGUCUUCUGCAACGCUCAAUAGUGGUCAGGUUGUGAAAUUUUCCUGAUUAGUAUGGUUACAUAUAUUAGCUGUAGAGUUUGACUUUGUUAUGUUUGUCACCGGUUGCUUUUCCGUUUAAUCAAUGCUUAAGAAAUUGUAAGAUACUGCAAAAGCAAGGUUUGAAUGCUUAUGAAUGCUUAAGAGAGUUGACAAGACAAUGCGAAAUGAGAGGUCAAUGCUGUUCUAUCCCUUCCACAUUGACAAGACGGUGAAUUGACUUUCUUGGAAAAGGUAUUGUAAUGCUCAAACAUAGCAACUGGAAUGCACCUGCUAGUUGUCUCGUACCCGAAGCUGACUUAACAUGGUAAAUGUCGUUGAAGUUACCUUGAGAUUUGUCCUAAAACAAAACUAUUCUGUCUAAGUAAGAUGACUACAACUUCUACAUCUAUGAGUAUUAGUCUCUUCAUAUUACCAGUAAGGGACUGAAUUUCAUGUUUAUACCUUCCUGAAAAAUUAAAUAAAAAUUUAGGAAUUAUUCUGACAACUGCCCUUGGAUUUAAACACUGUCCGCAACACAACAUUAAAGACUGAGUCAGACAGCAGAAAUAAUGUGACAUAUUCAAAUUGAAAUGGUUUGUACACCAGUGAAGUACAAACCACAAUUAAUUCUUUUGUAGUAAAUGGCAAGUUGAUGCACCUGCUCCUGUCUUAGAUCUAUCAUGUCUUUGCUUGCACUUUUUAAACAUCUCCUGAUUAACCUUUCUAAUGAAAAUGAAUUCAUUAAUAAUAGACAAUACCAUGAUCAAUUUUUUUUUUCCCGAUACGAAUUCCAUGGUCACUAUAUUAUUGUUUGUGGUUGUGAUUCCUACUUCUACUCAGAGUGCUUUGAUUCCAAGCUCCUGUUAAUGUGGUGGUCUCCAUUGCUUUUCACAACUUCAAUCCCUGCUUCCUGGUCUCCUUUUUUUUUUUUAUAAUCCACUCCAUGUAUGUCCAUAGGUUCAUCUUUAUGAAAGCAGAUGCACUCCAUUUCACUAGCAGAACUGUCUAAUUGCCUUUUCUGCAACUCUAGUUCUAGAACGGUGGGUGCAUCAUCAGAGGCAUGUGGUUACAUAGUUGAAAUACAAGAGACGUUCAUAAGAACCCUUGAGAACUUUCCCCAUUAACCUUUUUAGCAUAACGCUUAUUAUACUUUUACCAAAAUAAAAAGCUCAAGGAUCCUUUUGUUAAUCUAGUUGCUGAUGCUGCAAUACUGCACAGGAAAUCUUGCCUAAUUUGCACACCAUGCUGAUCCAGGUAUUAUGCAGUCUGCAUCUGACUGCAAAAUUGUGAUCCUUUGGGUGACUAGCAGUGAAUUCAUUUUAGUCAUCUUACUAAUACCUUUCUCAAUGUAUUUGAAUUUGUGAAUUCUACUCUUGUGGCUCACUCAAUAUUAAAGAAUGAUUAACCAUGGUUCCACCUCUUCCGCAUGCAUAUCAGUGAAACUGAACAUCCAAUCUUAUAUGGGAAUCUCUUGGAUUUCUUUCUUGUUAAUCAACAGGUGCAAUAACUGGAGCUAUAACAACUCCAUUGGAUGUCAUAAAGACUAGGUUGAUGGUUCAGGUGUGCUUUAAUGAUUGAUGCUUAUGCGUUAAUCCUUCAUUCUUUCUUAAAUACAUACACAUGCUUGACCUUCAGUUGUUUACCAUUUUGUUAAUUCUUCAGGGAUCUGAAAAGCAGUAUGAAGGCAUCCUCCACUGUGUUGGUACUAUUGUCAGAGAAGAAGGCACCUCCACUCUUUUUAAGGUGUGUCUAUAUGUUACACAUAAUAUACCCUCUAUCCUUGAUUCACAAAGACUUUAGAUAUUGUUAGCCAAUUUUAUGUCUUUUACGUUUUCAGGAUUUCUAUUGAUAACUCAAAAGGAUAUAUUGAUACUUUUUUGAACUGUUAUUAUACCUGAUUAGUUUAAUAUGUUGAUAGCCAUAGAGGAAAUACCAUUUUCUUUCUUCUUCUCCUUCCAGUUAUCUAAAUUGAAUUCAUUUCGAACUCAAAUGAAACCUUGUUCCUUACCAUUUGAGUCAUGGAAUGAAUCCGCUUCUCUAAUUUUCAAUCACUUGGAACUAAAGAUGAUGUACUAAUGGAAAUUUAUUGGACUUGUUAGUUAUAGUCACCACUAUUUUGUAGGAAAGUGGAUGAUUCUGGUCUCAUCAGCUUAAAUGACGUGAGACCAUUGUUUUGACUGUUAUCUUGCAGGGCAUAGGGCCGCGGGUGCUGUGGAUAGGGAUAGGCGGUUCAAUAUUCUUUGGUGUUCUUGAGAGGACGAAAAAGCUGCUCUCUAACAGUGGCCCAAUUCACCCCAGUCCAGAUUCUUUGAAGCAGGACUAACAUAAUACUAUCAGGUUUAAUUAGUUCAUGAAAUUUACUUCCAAAAUGAGAUUCGUGGCAUCAUGUAAUAGAUUUGUAGGAAUUUGGUGAAUUUGGUGGAUUUUAGUGCAAUAUGAGUUCUGCCUCCUUUGGACCAUGUUUCUAUCAAGUAGCAGAGAACUGAGGGCCUUGUGUCUCUUUAUGGAAAUUUUACAUAAUUUUAUGAACUCGAUGUAUAUUAAGGGAGUACAGAGAACAUUAGUUGAAUCUUUUAGAUAGAGUAUUAUUUGAAAUAAUAUUUUUUGUUAUUGAUACGAUAGAUUAUCCUACACUAAGGGGGCGGAGAAGGAUCUAAAGAGAUCUAAAGGUAAUCCGGAGAGGAUUGAACUACCACCGGAUCAGCGCAUCCGUCUGGAUUUUUUAAGCAGAGUCACUUUUUAAAUGUGGCAAAUUGGUUGCCUCCCAUCCCACCAAGCUUUAAUGCAUUGGUGGUGGUCACCGAUCCAAAGACUGGUGGUUGUAUUAUUUGAAAUAAUUAUUGUAGCACUUUUUGUGAUGUGAUAUAUAUGAGAUAAACAAAAAUGAUUGAAAAUAUAAAAAGAUAGAUUGAAAAAUACGUGUAUAAUAUAAGUGAAAUAUUAUUUGAAAAAAUGUAAUUAUCCAAACAAUACUUCAGGAAAAAAAGGUGUUUGGAUAGGAGAUUAUUUGGGAUAAUUUUUUUUAAGAAAAAUACUGUAGUGUUUUUUUGAUUUGAUGUAUGUAAGAUAAAAAAAUUGAUUGAAAAAUAUAUUGAUAAUACAAGUAGGUUAGUGUGUGUAAAUAAUGUGAAAAUAAGGUGCAAUCCAAAUGCACCAUGGAAGUGUGCAGAGGGAGAGAGAUAUAAGAUUUAAAGAGGAGGAAAACAUUGGCAGCGUACGAAGAGGCCGAGAAUAUAAUGAGUAUCAUCCACGUCCCAGCCAACACAAGAAAGGUUUUGACCAAUAAUUUUAUGAUUUAUUCGUUUUACGAAUUAUAUAAACCUAGACACUCAAUUAGUGAUUCUAAUAGAACUAUGCCGAGAUGCUUGGUCGCCAUUAAGGUCUUCCAUUCAUAGAUUAGUAUAUUCUAACGAGUUGUGAGUACUGAUAUACGUCACAUGUUACUAGAUGAGGAUAUAUGAAACUUCUAUAAUUGUUAUUUUUAUCAAAAUUGCACUGCGAACCUUAGAGUUUUUCGUUCGAAAAAUUAGAGCAUAAGAGUUGUUGUUAUUUAGUGAGUUAAUCGAGUAAGGCCACAAGAUCGAUCAAAAGUAUUCAAUUAGUGCAAAUUAGGCCAUAAAUAUGGUCCUAAUUUGUCAAAUUGAUUGUGUUGAAAACGAGAUCAAAAAAGGAUUAGAGAGAACUGUUGGUCGCUGCAAGUUAUCAAGUUGAAGGAUUUGAUUUGUUUAGCAGUCAUAGACCGGAAAUUUGACAAAGGGAGAGAGGAACAACUGAUGGAGGUAAUUAAAAUUUUCCAGCAAUGAUAAUGGUGCAAAAAGAAUUUACUAAUGGUAAAAAGUUCAAAAUUUUGCACACAUUUAGCGGUGGCGAUGAAAUAUUCAAAUGAUCGAGAAUAACGAAAACAUAUCUCAAAAAGUGUGGUUUAAGUGAUGUUUUUGGAUUAAGUUUUAAAAUCGUUUGCCCAAAGAAGUUUGGAAAAGGAAGUUAAGGUUAUUUUUUAAAAUUAUGUGAAAAUCAAUAAUUGAAGAGCUUUACAAAAGACUUUUGCUCUGUUUGGAUUAACUGUAUUUGGAGGUGUUUUUAAAAAAUUUUAUUAUAGCAGAGUUUUUAUAGUAUAUGUUGAGAUAUUUUUAGAAUAUAUUUUGGGAUAUUUAAGAGUAACAGAGUUUUUAGAAUAUUUUUUAAACAUUAAAAAAAAUUGGACUACUUUUUAAAGUACAUUUUAGAGUACUUUGUAAAAAAUUUUAUAGGAUUUGAAAAAUUGAUGAAUCCAAACAAAGCAAAAUUGUCAUUUAUAUAAUGAUGGAAUUUUCACAUGAGUAUGCUUACAAGUCAAAAAUUGGUUUAGAGUGGAAGUUGGCAGGGAGAGAAGAAAAAACAUUUGUAUUAGUCUUUUUUGUCCUUGUUUUUCUUUCACAAUCACAAAUUCUUCAUAAUGUAGAUCAAAAUUGUCAUUCUUAUCAAUAUCUUCGUAAAUGACUUCAUCAUCGAUAUACAUGUCUGCAUUGAGAUUAAUUUUCGAAUUUUAAAACCAAUUUUAGACCUGUAACCAGGCCUAUACGGAAAUUCCAUCGUGAUAUAAAUGACAUUUGAUCUGAAAAUUUGAGGUGCUCGAGAUCAAGAAAAAGUAUUUUGUAAAGCUCUUCAAUUAUUGGUUAUCGCAUGAUUUUGAAAAAUAAUUUUGCCCUCCUUUUCCAAACUUCUUUGGACAAACAAUUGUUGAAAUUUAUUUCAAGAAUAUCACCUAAACCACACUUGUUUAGAUAUCUUUUCAGUAUUCUUGACCAUUUGAAUUUUUCACCACCACUAGAGGUCGUGGAAAAUUAGUGACUUUUAGAGUGGGAAAAAUCCACUUUUCCUCCGUAAACUUUGAAUUAGGAACACAUUUCAUCCCCAAACUUUUAGAAGCAGCACAUUUAAUACAUGAAUUAACAAAUUCUGACCACAUUUAGUCCAAAAAUAGUAAAUUGUUCAAUUUGGACGAAGAAGGCUAGCAUGUCUAGCACACGGCCAUUAAGUAAAAACAAUUUUUUAGUCAAAAUCAACGAUCAUGUGCCAAACAUGUGAUCUUUUUUAUCCAAAUUGAACAAUUUAUCGUUUUGGACUAAAUGUGACCAGAAAUUAUUAAUUUAUAUACUAAAUAUGUUGUACCUAAAAGUUUGUAGAUGAAAUGUGUCUCUAGUCAAAGUUUAGGAAUGAAAAAUGGAUUUUUUCCCUUUUAGAGUGGAAGGCAAUGUGGCAAUAAUUCGUAACAUAAGGAUGUAAAAUGUCAAAGAUGACAAGUGUGAAUGUAGAGAAGGCCUUAAAGUGGAAAGUGAAAUUUGUCUAAAAUCUUGUAGUAAUUGACAAUUGUAACAUUUAUAUUCCCAUUUCUUUUACUUUAUUUUGCUCAACCUAGAUACUUUCCACCGGUCUGGCUCCUGUGGAGGAGGAGAAUCUCCAAUACCCACAAAAACCCAAAUUUUGACCAAUCAAGACUAUCCAUCUCAGCUACAUUUACACUCAUAUCUCCACCUUAUCCACUCUCUACCACUAGUCUCCUUGCUCCAAAAUCUAAAAACCAUCCCUCUCCACACGCCUUCUUCUCAAUCUCCUAUACUCUCAUUCCUACCAUACUCUUCUUCUCUUGCAAAUCUUAUUUUCAUCCCACAAAAACUUAACAAAAAAUCCAGCAAAAUGUCUCUCACAAUUCCCACAAAUCUUUCUACAGCCAUUGCUACACCAAAGCUGAAUUCCCAGUUCAGCACAAAGCCCAGAGCUGCAACAAUUGUAUGCUCUGCUAAUUCUCCCAACCAAAGCACAUCAACCUCAGAGCAACCUUCACCACCAUCACUCAAGGCAUUUUCUGCAGCUCUUGCACUUUCUUCCAUUCUUUUAUCGGCCCCGGUGAUGCCCGCCUCGGCCGACAUCGCUGGCCUCACACCAUGCAAGGAGUCCAAGCAAU
Molecule: long non-coding RNA, 66270 nt
Filed under: Coffea arabica (coffee)
Lineage: Eukaryota; Viridiplantae; Streptophyta; Magnoliopsida; Gentianales; Rubiaceae
Description: long non-coding RNA (CARA_LNC006502)
Source: RNAcentral